AUAGGUUAGUCCCAAAAAUAAUAUAAAAGUGUAUAAUAAAGCCCAUAAACAUCCAAAACAGAUAAUAUAAUUGCAUGGAACAAACAAAAAUUAUAGAUACGUUCGAGACGUAUCAACAUCCCCAAGCUUAAUUCCUGCUCGUCCUCGAGUAGGUAAAUGAUAAAAAUGGAUUUUUUGAUGCGGAAUGGUACCUAACAUAUUUAUCCAAGUAAUUCUCUUUAUUGUGGCAAGAAUAUUCAGAUCCGAAAGAUUCAAGACAAAGGUUUAAUAUUGACAUAAAAACAAUAAUACUUCAAGCAUACUAACAAAGUAAUCAUGCCUUCUCAAAAUAACAUGGCCAAAGAAAGCUAUCCCUACAAAAUCAUAUAGUCUGGCUAUGCUCCAUAUUCAUCACACAAAAUAUUUAAAUCAUGCACAACCCCGAUGACAAGCCAAGCAAUUGUUUCAUACUUUUGAUGUUCUCAAACUUUUUCAAUCUUCACGCAAUACAUGAGCGUGAGCCAUGGACAUAACACUAUAGGUGGAAUAGAAUGGUGGUUGUGGAGAAGACAAAAAGGAGAAAAUAGUCUCACAUCAACUAGGGGUAUCAAUGGGCUAUGGAGAUGCCCAUCGAUAGAUGUCAAGGUGAGUGAGUAGGGAUUGCCAUGCAACGGAUGCACUAGAGCUAUAAGUGUAUGAAAGCUCAACAAAAAAAAACUAAGUGGGUGUGCAUCCAACUCGCCUGCUCACGAAGACCUAGGGCAUUUUGAGGAAGCCCAUCACUAGAAUAUACAAGCCAAGUUCUAUAAUGAAAGAUUCCCACUAGUAUAUGAAAGUGACAACAUAGGAGACUCUCUAUCAUGAAGAUCAUGGUGCUACUUUGAAGCACAAGUGUGGUAAAAGGAUAGUAGCAUUGCCCCUUCUCUCUUUUUCUCUCAUUUUUAUGUUUUUUUGUUUUUUUGGGCCUUCUCUUUUUUUAUGGUCUCUUUUUCUCUCUUUUUUUAUUUUUUUAUUUUUCGUCCGGAGUCUCAUCCCGACUUGUGGGGGAAUCAUAGUCUCCACCAUCCUUUCCUCACAUGGGACAAUGCUCUAAUAAUGAUGAUCAUCACACUUUUAUUUACUUACAACUCAAGAAUUACAACUCGAUACUUAGAACAAAAUAUGACUCUAUAUGAAUGCCUCCGGCGGUGUACCGGGAUGUGCAAUGACUCAUGAGUGACAUGUAUGAAAGAAUUAUGAAUGGUGGCUUUGCCACAAAUACGAUGUCAACUACAUGAUCAUGCAUGGUAAUAUGACAAUGAUGAAGCGUGUCAUAACAACCGGAACAAUGGAAAGUUGCAUGGCAAUAUAUCUCGGAAUGGCUAUAGAAAUGCCAUAAUAGGUAGGUAUGGUGGCUGUUUUGAGGAAGGUAUAUGGUACCGGCAAAAGUUGCGCGGUACUAGAAAGGCUAUCAAUGGUGGAAGGAUGAGGGUGCGUAUAAUCCAUGGACUCAACAUUAGUCAUAAAGAACUCACAUACUUAUUGCAAAAAUCUAUUAGUUAUCGAAACAAAGUACUACGCGCAUGCUCCUAGGGGGAUAGAUUGAUAGGAGAAGACCAUCACUCGUCCCCGACCGCCACUCAUAAGGAAGACAAUCAAUAAAUAAAUCAUGCUCCGACUUCAUCACAUAACGGUUCAUCAUACAUGCAUGCUACGGGAAUCACAAACUUCAACAGAAGUAUUUCUCAAAUUCACAACUACUCAACUAGCAUGACUCUAAUAUCACCAUCUUCAUAUCUCAAAACAAUCAUCAAGUAUCAAACUUCUCAUAGUAUUCAAUGCACUUUAUAUGAAAGUUUUUAUUAUAUCCAUCUUGAAUGCCCAUCAUAGUAGAACUAAUUUUAUAACCCAAGCAAAUUACCAUGCUGUUCUAAAUACUCUCAAAAUAAUAUAAGUGAAGCAUGAGAGUUCAUCUAUUUCUUCAAAAUAAAACCACUGUCGUGCUCUAAAAAGAUAUAAGUGAAGCAUUAGAGCAAAUGACAAACUACUCCGGAAGAUAUAAGCGAAGCACAAUGAGUAGUUGAAUAAUUAUGUAACUAUGUGAAGACUCUCUAACUUUUAAUAAUUUUAGAUCUUGGUAUUUUAUUCAAACAGCAAGCAAAACAAAAGAAAAUAAAAUGACGCACCAAGCAAAACACAUAUCAUGUGGUGAAUAAAAAUAUAGCGCCAAGUAAAGUUACCGAUGAACGAAGACGAAAGAGGGGAUGCCUUCCGGGGCAUCCCCAAGCUUAGGCUCUUGGUUGUCCUUGAAUAUUUCCUUGGGGUGCCUUGGGCAUCCCCAAGCUUAGGCUCUUGCCACUCCUUAUUCCAUAGUCCGUCGAAUCUUUACCCAAAACUAUAAAACUUCACAACACAAAACUUAACAGAAAACUCGUAAGCUCCGUUAGUAUAAGAAAAUAAAUCACCACUUAGGUACUGUUGUGAAUUAAUUCUAAAUUCAUAUUGGUAUAAUAUCUACUGUAUUCCAACUUAUAUAUGGUUCAUACCCUCUGAUACUACUCACAGAUUCAUCAAAAUAAGCAAACAAUACAUAGAAAACAGAAUCUGUCAAAAACAGAACAGUCUGUAGUAAUCAGGAGGUUUAGAAUACUUCUGGAACCCCAAAAAUUCUAAAAUAAAUUUCUGGACGUCAUUAAUUUAUCUAUUAAUCAUCUUCAAAAAUAAUUAACUAAAUAUCACUCUCCAUUAAAAAAUGGUAGAUAAUCUCAUGAGCGCUAAAGUUUCUGUUUUUUACAGCAAGAUCGCAAAGACUUUCCCCAAGUCUUCCCAAAGGUUCUACUUGGCACAAACACUAAUUAAAACAUAAAACCACAUCUAAACAGAGGCUAGAUGAAUUAUUUAUUAUUAAAUAGGAGCAAAAAGCAAGGAACAUAAAUAAAAUUGGGUUGCCUCCCAACAAGCGCAAUCGUUUAACGCCCCUAGCUAGGCAUGAUGAUUUCAAUGAUGCUCACAUAAAAGAUAAGAAUUGAAACAUAGAGAGCAUCAUGAAGAAUAUGACUAGCACAUUUAAGUCUAAACCUAUUAUUAUGCAUAGGGAUUUUGUGAUUAAACAACUUAUGGGAACAAUAAUCAACUACCAUAGGAGGGCGAAACAAGCCUAACUUUAAAACUUUAAGCACAUAGAGAGGAAACUUGAUAUUAUUGCAAUUCCUACAAGCAUAUGUUCCUCCCCCAUAAUAAUUUUCAGUAGAAUCGUGAAUUAAUUCAACAUUAUAACUAUCACAUAAAUCAUUAUUUUCAUGAUCUACAAGCAUGGAAAUUUUAUUACUCUCCACAUAAGCAAAAAAUUUCUCGUUUGGAAUAGUGGGAGUAUCAUAAGAGACUCGAACACUAUAAAUUGUUUCCACGUUGAAAGAAUAAAGUUCAGAAAAAGGGUAAUCGUAAUCAUGACAAGUUUUAUAAAUAUAAUCAUCACUACUUUUUAUAGCAUACGUGUCAUCACAAUAAUCAUCAUAAGUAGCAACUUUGUUCUCAUCAUAAUCAAUUGAAACCUCUUCCAAGAUAGUGGAAUCAUUACUAAAUAAAGUCAUGACCUCUCCAAAUCCACUUUCAUAAUUAUCACAAUAAGAUUCAACAUCCUCCAAAAUAGUGGGAUCAUCACUUCCUAAAGUUGACACUCUUCCAAACCCACUUUCAUCAAUAUAAUCAUCACAAAUAGGAGGCAUGCUAUCAUCAUAAUAAAUUUGCUCAUCAAAACUUGGGAGACAAAAAAUAUCAUCUUCAUCAAAAAUAGCUUCCCCAAGCUUGGGACAAACAUUAAUUGCAGCAAAUAUAUUCUCAAACAUGUCAUUCUCAUCAAACAUAGCAUCCCCAAGCUUGGCUCUUUUCAUAUCAUAAGCAUAAUCACUCUCAUCAUUAAUAGUAUGGAUAGCACCAAUAGUAUAGCAAUUAUCAUCUUCACAAUGAGUAAUAGGGGAAACAUCAUUUGGGAGGGAUACCUUUUCACCUUUACAUCUCCGUCUUUUCUUUUUCUUCUUCACAUUAUGUGUGGGUUCAAUCCUCUUUUUGGAGCUCCUUAUUAAUGAGAUUGGUUGAAUAGAAGGCUCCUCCUCGUUACCUGAUUCAUCAUAAGAAAUAAUAGGAGGAUAUUGGGAAGCCUCUUCCCUUUCAUUAGUAUUCUCUUCAUCCUCUAUUUCUUUUCUUUUCUUUAUGUAAUUGGCAAUAUAAGGAUUUUCAAUGCAGUUCACCGCAUAAUACAUAAAAAUUUCUUCUAGAUCAAUAUCGAGGAAUUUCUCAUGGUUAUAUUCUGGAAUAUGCUUAGUUAUACGUUUCAUUUAUUCAUAACCCAAAAGCAAACUAAGUUCAUUAUGAUGUGAAAGGGAAAUCAAAUCAUCAUAAUUUUUGGACACGAUACGAUCAUGAAACAAUUUGCAUUUCAGAUUUAAGUGACCAUGUUCAUUGCAAAGUUCAGAAGUAUGGCAAAGGAAUUUUAAAUUUUCAGCACAAACAUCUAGCCUCUCUUGCAACCAUUUGGUUUCUAAAUACUUAUGCCUCUUGCAACUUCCCUAUUUGGUGUGUACUUGCAAACUCUAUGCACUCCACAAAAGUUGACAUGCUUAUAAGAGACAUUUUCAUCAUGACUAGUGCAAUCAUCAUUAGUGCUAUGGAUAUUCAAGGAGUUCAUACUAACAACAUUGCAAUCAUGCUCGUUAUUCAAAGAUUUAAUGCCAAACAUUUUAGAGACUUCUUCUUCUAGCACUUGAGCACAAUUUCCUUUCCAUCAUUCUCACGAAAGAAAUUAAAAAGAUGAAGCGUAUGAGGCAAACUCAAUUCCAUUUUUUUGUAAUUUUCUUUUAUAAACUAAACUAGUGAUAAAACAAGAAACUAAAAGAUUCGAUUGCAAGAUCUAAAGAUAUACCUUCAAGCACUCACCUCCCCGGCGACGGCGCCACAGAAGAGCUUGAUGUCUACCACACAACCUUCUUCUUGUAGACGUUGUUGGGCCUCCAAGUGCAGAGGUUUGUAGGACAGUAGCAAAUUUCCCUCAAGUGGAUGACCUAAGGUUUGUCAAUCCGUGGGAGGCACAGGAUGAUGGUUUUUGCAAUAUGGAUAGUAGAUAAUGGUUUUUGUAAUCUGAAAAUAUAAAAAUAGCAAGGUAACUAAUGAUAAAAGUGAGCACAAACGGUAAUGCAAUGCGUUGAAAUGAGGCCUAGGGUUCAUACUUUCACUAGUGAAAGUUCCCUCAACAAUAAUAACAUAAUUGGAUCAUAUAACUAUCCCUCAACAUGCAACAAAGAGUCACUUCAAAGUCACUAAUAGCCGAGAACAAACGAAGGGAUUAUUGUAGGGUACGAAACCACCUUAAAGUUAUUCUUUCCAAUCAAUCUAUUGGGCUAUUCCUAUAAGUGUCAUAAACAACCCUAGAGUUCGUAGUAAAAUAACACCUUAAGACACAAAUCAACCAAAACCCUAAUGUCACCUAGAUACUCCAAUGUCACCUCAAGUAUCUGUUGGAAAUAUGCCCUAGAGGUAAUAAAAAAUUAGUUAUUAUUAUUAUUAUAUUUCAUUGUUCAUGAUAAUCGUUUAUUAUCCAUGCUAGAAUUGUAUUGAUAGGAAACUCAGAUACAUGUGUGGAUACAUAGACAACACCAUGUCCCUAGUAAGCCUCUAGUUGACUAGCUCGUUGAUCAAUAGAUGGUUACAGUUUCCUGACCAUGGACAUUGGAUGUCGUUGAUAACGGGAUCACAUCAUUAGGAGAAUGAUGUGAUGGACAAGACCCAAUCCUAAGCCCAGCACAAGAUCGUGUAGUUCGUUUGCUAAAACUUUUCUAAUGUCAAGUAUCAUUUCCUUAGACCAUGAGAUUGUGCAACUCCCGGAUACUGUAGGAGUGCUUUGGGUGUGCCAAACGUCACAACGUAACUGGGUGGCUAUAAAGGUACACUACAGGUAUCUCCGAAAGUUUCUGUUGGGUUAGCACGAAUCAAGACUAGGAUUUGUCACUCCGUGUAAACAGAGAGGUAUCUCUGGGCCCACUCGAUAGGACAUCAUCAUAAUGUGCACAAUGUGACCAAGGAGUUGAUCACAGGAUGACGUGUUACAGAACGAGUAAAGAGACUUGCCAGUAACGAGAUUGAACAAGGUAUCGGGAUACCGACGAUCGAAUCUCGGGCAAGUAUCAUACCGCUAGACAAAGGGAAUUGUAUACGGGAUUGAUUAAAUCCUUGACAUUGUGGUUCAUCCGAUGAGAUCAUCGUGGAGCAUGUGGGAGCCAACAUGGGUAUCCAGAUCCCGCUGUUGGUUAUUGACCGGAGAGUUGUCUCGGCCAUGUCUGCAUGACUCCCGAACCCGUAGGGUCUACACACUUAAGGUUUGAUGACGCUAGGGUUAUAGGGAAAGUAUGUACACGGUUACCGAAUGUUGUUCGGAGUCCCAGAUGAGAUCCUGGACGUCACGAGAAGUUCCGGAAUGGUCUGGAGGUAAAGAUUAAUAUAUAGGAAGUAUGGUUUUGGCCACCGGAAGUGUUCUGGGCAUCACCGGUAGUGUACCGGGACCACCAGAGGGGUCCGAGGGUCCACCAGCCCCGGAGGGCUACAUGGGCCAAUAGUGGGAAGGGACCAGCCCCUAGGUGGGCUGGGGCGCCUUCCACCAAGGCCCAAGGCACCUCCAAGAGGGGAGGGGGGCAAACCCUAGGGCAGAUGGGCCCUAAGGCCCACCUCAGGUGCGCCUCCCCCUCUCCCCCUUGUGGCCGCCACCCUAGAUGGGAUCUAGGGCUGCCGCCACCCCUAGGGAGGAAACCCUAGGUGGGGGCGCAACCCUCCCUCUUCCCCUAUAUAUAGUGGAGGCAAAGGGGCAGCCCAACACAUGAAGUUCCUCCCCUGUUGGCGCAGCCCUACCCCUCUCCCUCCUCGUCUCUCGUAGUGCUUGGCGAAGCCCUGCUGGAGUCCCGCGCUCCUCCACCACCACCAUGCCGUCGUGCUGCUACUGGAUGGAGUCUUCCCCAACCUCUCCUUCUCCCCUUGUUGGAUCAAGGUGUAGGAGACGUCACCGGGCUGUACGUGUGUUGAACGCGGAGGUGCCGUCCGUUCGGCACUAGGAUCAUCGGUGAUUUGGAUCACGACGAGUACGACUCCAUCAACCCCAUUCACUUGAACGCUUCCGCUUAGCGAUCUACAAGGGUAUGUAGAUGCACUCUCCUUCCCCUCGUUGCUAGAUUACUCCAUAGAUUGAUCUUGGUGAUGCAUACAAAAUUUUAACUUUCUGCUACGAUCCCCAACAGUGGCAUCAUGAGCUAGGUCUAUGCGUAGUUUCUAUGCACGAGUAGAACACAAAGUAGUUGUGGGUGUCGAUAUUAUCAAUUUACUUGCCGUUACUAGUCUUAUCUUGAUUCGGCGGCAUCGUGGGAUGAAGCGGCCUGGACCGACCUUACACGUAUGCUUACGUGAGACUGGUUCCACGGACUGACAUGCACUAGUUGCAUAAGGUGGCUAGCGGGUGUCUGUCUCUCCCACUUUAGUCGGAUCGGAUUCGAUCAAAAGGGUCCUUAUGAAGGGUAAAUAGAAAUUGGCAUAUCACAUUUUGGUUUUCGCGUAGGUAAGAAACGUUCUUGCUAGAAACCUAUAGCAUCCACGUAAAAACUUGCAACAACAAUUAGAGGACGUCUAACUUGUUUUUGCAGCAUAUGCCUUGUGAUGUGAUAUGGCCAAAAGGAUGUGAUGAAUGAUAUAUGUGAUGUAUGAGAUUGAUCAUGUUCUUGUAAUAGGAAUCACGACUUGCAUGUCGAUGAGUAUGACAACCGGCAGGAGCCAUAGGAGUUGUCUUAAUUUAUUUAUGACCUGCGUGUCAACAUAAACGUCAUGUAAUUACAUUACUUCAUUGCUAAAGCGUUAGCCAUAGUAGUAGAAGUAAUAGAUGACGAGACAACUUCAAGAAGACACGAUGAUGGAGAUCAUGGUGUCAUGCCGGUGACAACGAUGAUCAUGGAGCCCCGAAGAUGGAGAUCAAAAGGAGCAAAAUGAUAUUGGCCAUAUCAUGUCACUAUUUGAUUGCAUGUGAUGUUUAUCAUGUUUUACAUCUUAUUUGCUUAGAACGACGAUGGCUUAAAUAAGAUGAUCCCUCGCAAUAAUUUCAAGGAAAGUGUUCCCCCUAACUGUGCACCGUUGUGAAGGUUCGUUGUUUCGAAGCACCACGUGAUGAUCGGGUGUGAUAGAUUCUAACGUUCGAAUCCAACGGGUGUAAGCCAGAUUUACACACGCAAUACACUUAGGUUGACUUGACGAGCCUAGCAUGUACAGACAUGGCCUCGGAACACGGAAGACCGAAAGGUCGAACAUGAGUUGUAUAGAAGAUACGAUCAACAUGAGAUGUUCACCGUUGAUGACUAGUCCGUCUCACGUGAUGAUCGGACACGGCCUAGUCGAUUCGGAUCAUGUUUCACUUAGAUGACUAGAGGGAUGUCUAUCUGAGUGGGAGUUCAUUAAAUAAUUUGAUUAGAUGAACUCAAUUAUCAUGAACAUAGUCCAGAUUGUCUUUGCAAAUAUGUUGUAGAUGAAUAGCUCACGUUGUAGCUCCCUAUUUCAAUACGUCCCUAGAGAAAGACCAAAUUGAAAGAUAUUGUAAGCAAUGAUGCAGACUAGGUCCGUAGUCCGAGGAGUGUCCUCACUGCUACACAGAAGGCUUACGUCUUGGAUGCACCGCUCGAUGUGGAAACCCCUACAACGUCGUCUGUGGAUGUUAUGAACACCUAAUAGACACGUCCUGAUGACUACUUAAUAGUUUAGUGCACCAUACUUUACGGCUUAGAAUCGGGAUUCCAAUGACGUUUUGAACGGCAUGAGACAUAUGAGAUGUUCCAAGAGCUGAAAUUGGGAUUUCAGGCUCGUGCCCGUGUUGAGAGGUGUGAGACCUCUGACAAGUUCUUUUGCCAACAAGAUGGAGGAGAAUAGCUCAGCUAGUGAGCAUGUGCUCAGAAUGUCUGGGUGCUACAAUCACUUAAAUCAAGUGGGAGUUAAACUUCCAGAUAAGAUAGUGAUUGAUAGAGUUCUCUAGCCACUAUCACUAAGCUACUAGAUCUUCAUGAUGAACUGUGACAUGCAAGGGAUGGAGUUGAUCCCGAAUCUCUUCGCGGUGCUUAAGACCGCAAAAGGUAGAAAUCAAGAAGGAGCAUCAAGUGUUGAUGGUUUAACAAGACCACUGGUUUCAAGAAGGGCAAGGGCUAGAAGGGAAACUUCAUGGAUGGCAAACCAGUUGCCGCUCCAGUGAAGGAACCCAAGGUUGAACCCAAACAUGAGACUAAGUGCUUCUAUUGUAAAGGGAACGGUCACUGGUAGCGGGAUUACCCCAAAUGCAUGGUAGAUAAGAAGGCUGGCAACUUCAACAAAAUUUAUACGUGUCAUUAAUGUGUACCUCACUAGUACUCCUGGUAGCACCUAGGUAUUGGAUACCGGUUCAGUUACUAUUAUUGGUGACUUGAAGCAAAAGCUACGGACUAAACGGAGACUGGCUGAGGGUGAGGUGACGAUGUGUGUUGGAAGUGUUUCCAAAGUUGAUGAGAUCACCAUCGCACGCUCCAUCUGCCUUCGGGAUUAGUAUUGAACCUAGAUAAAUGUUAUCAGGUGUCUACGUUGAGCAUGAAUAUGAUUAGAUCAUGUUCAUUGCAAUACGGUUAUUCAUUUAAGUUAGGGAAUAAUGGUUAUUAUGAUUACAUGAAUAAUACCUUUCAUGGUCAUGCACCCUAUGUGAAUGGUUCAUUGAAUCUCGGUCGUGGUAAUACACAUGUUCACGCCAAAAGAUAUAGAGUUAAUAAUGAUAGUACCACUUUCUUGUGGCACUGCCGCUUAGGUCUUAUUGGCGUAAGAUGGAUGAAGAAACUCCAUGUCGAUGGAUGUUUGGAGUCACUUGAUUUUGAAUCGCUUGACACAUGCGAGCCAUGCCUCAUGGGCAGGAUGACUAAGACCCCGUUUUCAGGUACAAUGAAACGGGCAAGUGACUUGUUGGAAACCAUACAUGCUGAUGCAUGUGAUCCAAUGAGAAUUGAAGCGUGCGGUGGAUAUCGCUAUUUUCUCAUCUUGACUGACGAUUUGAGUAGAUAUAGGUAUAUUUACUUAAUGAAGCACAAGUCUGAAACGUUUGAAAAGUUCAAGCAAUUUCAGAGUGAAGUUAAGAAUCAUCAUAACAAAAAGAUCAUGUUCCUACGAUCUGAUCAAAAGGGGAUUUUCUGAGUUAUGAGUUUGGCAAUCACUUAAGAUAUUGUGGAAUUGUUUCACGGUUGAAGCCACCUGGAACACCACAGAGUAAUGGUGUGUCCGGACGUUGUAAUCGAACCUUAUGAGAUAUGGUGCGAUCUAUGAUGUCUCUUAGCGAUCUAUCGUUUUCAUUUUGAGGUUAUGCGUUAGAGACAGCUGCAUUCACUUUAGAUAGGACACCAUCUAAGUCCGUUGAGACGACAUCGUAUGAACAUUGGUUUGGCAAGAAACCAAAGUUGUCGUUUCUUAAUGUUUGGGGCUGCGAUGCUUAAGGCUUCAGCCAGAGAAGCUCGAACCCAAAGCGGACAAACACAUCUUCAUAGGAUACCCAAAGGUGACAGUUGGGUAUACCUUCUAUCUCAGAUCCGAGGGCAAAUUGUUUGUCGCUAAGAACGGGUCCUUUCUCGAGAAGGAGUUUCUCUCGAAAGAAUUGAGUGGGAGGAAGAUAGAACUUGAUGAGGUUGUCGAACCUUUAUUUCAACCAGAGAAUGAUGCAACACAGAAAGAUGUUUUCUGUGGCACCUACGUCUGUUGAAUAGGAAGUUAAUGAUAGUGAUCAUGAAGCUUCGGAUCAAGUUGCUAUCGAACCUCGUAGGUCGACAAGGAUAUGUACUACUCCUAAGUGGUACGGUAAUCCUGUCUUAGAUAUCAUGUUGUUAGAUAACAAUGAACCUACGAGCUAUGGAGAAGCGAUGGUGGGCCCAUAUUCCGACAAAUGGUUAGAAGCCAUGAAAUCCGAAAUAGGAUCCAUAUAUCAGAACAAAGUAUGGACUUUGGUGGACUUGCCCGAUGAUCGGCAAGCCAUUGAGAUAAAUGGAUCUUUAAGAAGAAGACGGACGUGGGCGGUAAUGUUACCGUCUAUGAAGCUCGACUUGUGGGAAAGAGUCUUUUCACAAGUUCAAGGAGUUGACUACGAUGAGAAUUUCUCACUCGUAGCGAUGCUUAAGUCCAUCGGAAUCAUGUUAGCAUUAGCUGUAUUUUUCGAUUAUGAAAUCUAACAGAUGGAUGUCAAAGCAAGUUUUCUUACCAGUUUUCAUAAGAAAGAGUUGUAUGUGAUACAAUCAAAGUUUUGUCGAUCCUAAGGAUGCUAAAAGGUAUGCUGGCUCCAGCAAUCCUUCUAUGGACUAGAGCAAGCAUCUCGGAAUCGGAAUAUAUGUUUUGAUGGAGUGAUCAAAGCUUUUAGGUUUAUACAAUGUUUGCUAGAAACUUGUAUUUACAAGAAAGUGAGUGGGAGAACUACAACAUUUCUGAUAAGUAUACGUGGAUGACAUAUUGCUGAUUCGAAAUAAUGUAGAAUUUCUGGAAAGCAUAAACGGUUGUUUGAAAAGUGUUUUUCAAAGGAAGACCUGGAUAAAGCUGCUUACAAAUUGGGCAUCAAGAUCUAUACAGAUAGAUCAAGACGCGUGAUGAUACUUUCAAAGAACGCACACCUUGACAUGUUUUUGAAGGAAUUCAAAAUAGAUCAGUCAAAGAAGGGGUUCUUACCUGAGUUGUAAGGUGUGAAGUUGAGUAAGACUCAAAGCUUGACCACGACAGAAGAAAGAGGAAGGACGAAGGUCGUCCCCUAUGCUCUUGUCAUAGGCUCUAUACGGUAUGCCAUGCUGAGUACCGCACCUGAUGUGGGCCUUGCCACAUGUCUGGCAAGAGGGUACAAAGGUGAUCUUGGAUUGGAUCACCAGAUAGCGGUCAAAAUUGUCCUUAGAGGAAUAAGGAAAUGUUUCUCGGUUAUGGAGGUGAUAAAGAGUUCGACGUAAAGAGUUACGUCGAUGCAAGCUUAACACCUAUCCGGAUAGCUCUAAGUAGAGAUACCGAAUACAUAUAAUGGAGCAAUAAUUUGGAAUAGCUCCAAGUGGAACGUGGUAGCAGCAUCUACGAUAUGACAUAAAGUUUUGGGAAAUACAUAGGGAUCUGAAUAUGGCAAGACCCGUUGACUACAACCUCUCUCACAAGCAUAACAUGAUCAAACCCAGAACUCUUUGAGUGUUUAUCACAUAGUGAUGUGAACUAGAUCAUUGAGUCUAGUAGACUCUUGGAUGUUGGUCACAUGGCGAUGUGACCUGUGAGUGUUAAUCACAUGGCGAUGUGAACUAGAUUAUUGACUCUAGUGCAAGUGGGAGACUGUUGGAAAUAUGCCCUAGAGGCAAUAAUAAAUUAGUUAUUAUUAUUAUAUUUCAUUGUUCAUGAUAAUCGUUUAUUAUCCAUGCUAGAAUUGUAUUGAUAGGAAACUCAGAUACAUGUGUGGAUACAUAGACAACACCAUGUCCCUAGUAAGCCUCUAGUUGACUAGCUCGUUGAUCAAUAGAUGGUUACAGUUUCCUGACCAUGGACAUUGGAUGUCGUUGAUAACGGGAUCACAUCAUUAGGAGAAUGAUGUGAUGGAUAAGACCCAAUCCUAAGCCUAGCACAAGAUCGUGUAGUUCGUUUGCUAAAGCUUUUCUAAUGUCAAGUAUCAUUUCCUUAGACCAUGAGAUUGUGCAACUCCCGGAUACCGUAGGAGUGCUUUGGGUGUGCCAAACAUCACAACGUAAAUGGGUGGCUAUAAAGGUACACUACAGGUAUCUCCGAAAGUGUCUGUUGGGUUGGCACAAAUCGAGACUGGGAUUUAUCACUCCGUGUAAACGGAGAGGUAUCUCUGGGCCCACUCGGUAGGACAUCAUCAUAAUGUGCACAAUGUGACCAAGGAAUUGAUCACGGGAUGAUGUGUUACGGAACGAGUAAAGAGACUUGCCGGUAACGAGAUUGAACAAGGUAUCGGGAUACCGACGAUCAAAUCUCAGGCAAGUAUCAUACCGCUAGACAAAGGGAAUUGUAUACGGGAUUGAUUAAAUCCUUGACAUCGUGGUUCAUCCGAUGAGAUCAUCGUGGAGCAUGUGGGAGCCAACAUGGGUAUCCAGAUCCCGCUGUUGGUUAUUGACCGGAGAGUUGUCUCGGCCAUGUCUGCAUGACUCCCGAACCCGUAGGGUCUACACACUUAAGGUUCGAUGACGCUAGGGUUAUAGGGAAAGUAUGUACGCGGUUACCGAAUGUUGUUCGGAGUCCCGGAUGAGAUCCCGGACGUCAAGAGAAGUUCCGGAAUGGUUUGGAGGUAAAGAUUAAUAUAUAGUAAGUAUGGUUUUGGCCACCGGAAGUGUUCCGGGCAUCACCAGUAGUGUACCGGGACCACCGGAGGGGUCCGGGGGUCCACUAGGUGGGGCCACCAUCCCCGGAGGCCUACAUGGGCCAAUAGUGGGAAGGUACCAGCCCCUAGGUGGGCUGGGGCGCCUCCCACCAAGGCCCAAGGCACCUCCAAGAGGGGAGGGGGGCAAACCCUAGGGCAGAUGGGCCCUAAGGCCCACCUCAGGUGCGCCUCCCCCUCUCCCCCUUGUGGCCGCCACCCUAGAUGGGAUCUAGGGCUGCCGCCACCCCUAGGGAGGAAACCCUAGGUGGGGGCACAGCCCUCCCUCUCCCCCUAUAUAUAGUGGAGGCAAAGGGGCAGCCGAACACAUGAAGUUCCUCCCCUGUUGGCGCAGCCCGACCCCUCUCCCUCCUCGUCUCUCGUAGUGCUUGGCGAAGCCCUGCUGGAGUCCCGCGCUCCUCCACCACCACCAUGCCAUUGUGCUGCUGCUGGACGGAGUCUUCCCCAACCUCUCCUUCUCCCCUUGCUGGAUCAAGGCGUAGGAGACGUCACCGGGCUGUCUGUGUGUUGAACACGGAGGUGCCGUCCAUUCGGCACUAGGAUCAUCGGUGAUUUGAAUCACGACGAGUACGACUCCAUCAACCCCGUUCACUUGAACGCUUCCACUUAGCGAUCUACAAGGGUAUGUAGAUGCACUCUCCUUCCCCUCGUUGCUAGAUUACUCCAUAGAUUGAUCUUGGUGAUGCGUAGAAAAUUUUAAAUUUCUGCUAUGAUCCCCAACAGUAUCCGCGGGUAUGAUUAUACGAUAUGCAUAACACAAUCUCAUAUUCAUCUAUUCAACCAACACAAAGAACUUCAAAGAGUGCCCCAAAGUUUCUACCGGAGAGUCAAGACGAAAACGUGUGCCAACCCCUAUGCAUAAGUUCACGAGGUCACGGAACUCGCAAGUUCAUCACCAAAACAUACAUCAAGUGGAUCACGUGAUAUCCCAUUGUCACCACAGAUAAGCACAUGCAAGACAUACAUCAAGUGUUCUCCAAUCCUUAAAGACUCAAUCCGAUAAGAUAACUUCAAAGGGAAAACUAAAUUCAUCACAAGAGAGUAGAGGGGGAGAAACAUCAUAAGAUCCAAAUAUAAUAGCAAAGCUCGCGAUACAUCAAGAUCGUGUCGACUCAAGAACACGAGAGAGAGAGAUCAAACACAUAGCUACUGGUACAUACCCUCAGCCCAGAGGGUGAACUACUCCCUCCUCAUCAUGGAGAGCACCGGGAUGAUGAAGAUGGCCACCGGAGAGGGAUUCCCCCCUCCGACAGGGUGCCGGAACGGGUCUAGAUUGGUUUUCGGUGGCUACAGAGGCUUCUGGCGGCGGAACUCCCGAUCUAUUGUGUUCCUCCAUGUUUUUAGGGUAUAUGGACCUAUAUAGGCAAAAGAAGUCGGUUAGGGGAGCCACGAGGGGCCCACGAGGGUGGGAGGCGCGCCCAGGGGGAAAGCGCGCCUCCCUGCCUCGUGACCACCUCGAAGCUUCCCUGACGUCUACUCCAAGUCUCCUGGAUUGCUUCCGUUUCAAAAAUAACUCUCCCGAAGGUUUCAUUCCGUUUGGACUCCAUUUGAUAUUCCUUUUCUUCGAAACACUGAAAUAGGCAAGAAAACAACAAUUUGGACCGGGCCUCCAGUUAAUAGGUUAGUCCCAAAAAUGAUAUAAAAGUGUAUAAUAAAGCCCAUAAACAUCCAAAACAGAUAAUAUAAUAGCACAGAACAAUCAAAAAUUAUAGAUACAUUGUAGACAUAUCAGCCUCCAUCAGGGCUAAGGCCGCCGCUGCGGAACGGACAGCUGGUGUGCCGCUCUCGCCAGUUGCUAUCCCCGAGGCAGAUGUUGCUGUCGCCACCUGAGAAGCAACAGCGGCCAUUUGGGCUGUCUUUGCGGCCCGUUCACAAAUUGCGGCCGCGCUCAUGCACCUUGUUAGCACGCGCAUGGCGGUUGCAGCCGCGCUCUCGCCGGAGUGGGCCACCGAAGUUGCCCUCAUGACGCGGGUCCACGUGCCCAUCUUUCACCGACGAUGAUUGACCAAUGAAAUGAUAUUUGGGGAGCGAGCUAGUGUCCUUGAGACGCCGGUUGUGGACUGUAGCCGACACACCUUCUCACGUAAGCCAUAGGCGUACUAUACACCGAUGGUGCUCUAAGAUAUUUUGUACUACAUCUCACACGGUUGCUGAUAAUAAACUGUGUGCGAUCUACUUGAUUUUUCAUCUUGAUUUGAAUUACAUAAUUGGGUCACAACGGCAAUGGACGUUGUUUGAAUUGCUAGACCUUUUAUCUGGAGUGAACAUACAACUAUAUAUGUGUCGUAAAAGAAUUGGAAUUAUUGAGGGUUCAUUUGAAUAUUUUAUACAUUAAAUUGGUUUUCUAGCCAUUUCAGGUGAACAAUUCAAAUUUGAACUACAUGCACAUGCUCCAGUGCAUAUAAAUUGGUUGAAAAUCAAAUCCGUGUCCUUGGGUGCAUGCUUAGGUCCCAUGCAAGAAAUGAGAAUGAACUUCAAACACCAGGGCACCGUUGAUUGCCGGCAAAACAUUGAGAUGCCUAGUUUUUAAAUUCUAGCAAAUCCAAAACUCGUCUGAAAUUCAUGAAACCUGGCAUGCUAUCAUGGAGCGGCAUCAACAUGUCGUGGUACAAAUUUUUUCCUAUUUGGGGCAGGUUUGGGUAUAUGCUUCUCACAAACCGGAGCUUCUCACAACAAGCAUGAUGGUUUUCGGUAGGGAACGUCCCACCUUUGGGGACGAAAUGAUAUCCAUUGCCUCUUAUUGCUUUCAAAUUUCUUUCCGGUGUCAACAUAGAACAACAAAAGUGUUGUGUGAUUUUUUGUGAUUUUUCGGGGUUCGUUUGGACAUUUUUAUGCAUUAACUGAGUUUUCAAUGCAUUUUAUGUGCAUAAUUCAAAUUUGUACUACAUGCACAUGCUCCAGUGCAUAUAAAUUGGUUGAAAAAUCAAAUAUGUGUCCUUGGGUGCAUGCUUAGGUCCCAUGCAAGAAAUGAGAAUGAACUUCAAACACCAGGGCACCGUUGAUUGCCGGCAAAACAUUGAGAUGCCUAGUUUUUAAAUUCUAGCAAAUCCAAAACUCGUCUAAAAUUCAUGAAACCUGGCAUGCUAUCAUGGAGCGGCAUCAACAUGUCGUGGUACAAAUUUUUUCCUAUUUGGGGCAGGUUUGGGUAUAUGCUUCUCACAAACCGGAGCUUCUCACAACAAGCAUGAUGGUUUUCGAUAGGGAACGUCCCACCUUUGGGGACGAAAUGAUAUCCAUUGCCUCUUAUUGCUUUCAAAUUUCUUUCUGAUGUCAACAUAGAACAACAAAAGUGUUGUGUGAUUUUUUGUGAUUUUUCGGGGUUCGUUUGGACAUUUUUAUGCAUUAACUGAGUUUUCAAUGCAUUUUAUGUGCAUAAUUCAAAUUAGUACUACAUGCACAUGCUCCAGUGCAUAUAAAUUGGUUGAAAAAUCAAAUAUGUGUCCUUGGGUGCAUGCUUAGGUCCCAUGCAAGAAAUGGGAAUGAAUUUCAAACACCGGGGCACCGUUGAUUGCUGGCAAAACAUUGAGAUGCCUAGUUUUUAAAUUCUAGUAAAUCCAAAACUCGUCUGAAAUUCAUGAAACUUGGCAUGCUAUCAUGGAACGGCAUCAACAUGCCGUGGUACAAAUUUUGUCCCAUUUGGGGCAGGUUUGGGUAUAUGCUUCUCACAAACCAGAGCUUCUCACAACAAGCAUGAUGGUUUUCGGUAGGGAACGUCCCACCUUUGUGGACGAAACGAUAUCCAUUGCCUCUUAUUGCUUUCAAUUUCUCGUGUCAACAUAGAACAACAGGAGUGUUGUGUGAAUUUUUGUGAUUUUUCGGGGUUCGUUUGAACAUUUUUAUGCAUUAACUGAGUUUUCAAUGCAUUUAUGUGCAUAAUUGAAAUUUGAACUACAUGCACAUACUCCAGUGCAUAUAAAUUGGUUGAAAAAUCAAAUAUGUGUCCUUGGGUGCAUGCUUAGGUCCCAUGCAAGAAAUGGGAAUGAAUUUCAAACACCGGGGCACCGUUGAUUGCCAGCAAAACAUUGAGAUGCAUGGUUUUUAAAUUCUAGUAAAUCCAAAAAUCGUCUGAAAUUCAUGAAACUUGGCAUGCUAUCAUGGACCGGCAUCAACAUGCCGUGGUACAAUUUUUGUCCCAUUUGGGGCAGGUUUGGGUAUAUGCUUCUCACAAACCAGAGCUUCUCACAACAAGCAUGAUGGUUUUCGGUAGGGAACGACCCACCUUUGUGGACGAAACUAUCCAUUGCCUCUUAUUGCUUUCAAUUUUUGGUGUGAACAUAGAACAACAGGAGUGUUGUGUGAAUUUUUGUGAUUUCUCGGGGUUCAUUUGGACAUUUUUAUUCAUUAACCGAGUUUUCAAUGCAUUUAUGUGCAUAAUUCAAAUUUGAACUAUCACAUGCUCCAGUGCAUAUAAAUUGGUUGAAAAAUCAAAUAUGUGUCCUUGGGUGCAUGCUUAGGUCCCAUGCAAGAAAUGGGAAUGAAUUUCAAACACCAGGGCACCAUUGAUUGCCGGCAAAACAUUGAGAUGCAUGAUUUUUAAAUUCCAGUAAAUCCAAAAUUCUGUUAACCAUUCACGUGACGCCACGUGUCUGAUACGUCUCCAACGUAUCUAUAAUUUUUAUUGCUCCAUGCUAUAUUAUCUACUAUUUUGGACAUUAUUGGGACUAAUCUAUACUUUUAUAUUAUUUUUGGGACUAACCUAUUAACCGGAGGCCCAUCCCAGAAUUGCUGUUUUUUUGCCUGUUUUAGGGUUUCGAAGAAAGGAAUAUCAAACAGAGUCCAAACGGAAUGAAACCUUCGGGAACGUGAUUUUCUCAACGAAUAAGACCAGAGAGACUUGGACCCUACGUCAAGAAAAGAAACAGGAGGCCACGAGGUAGGGGGGCACGCCUGCCUACCCUAGGCACGCCCUCCACCCUCGUGGGCCCCCUGUUGCUCCACCGACGUACUCCUUCCUCCUAUAUAUAUCCACGUACCCCCAAACGAUCAGAUACGGAGCCAAAACCCUAAUUCCACCGCCGCAACUUUCUGUAUCUACAAGAUCCCAUCUUGGGGUCUGUUCCGGAGCUCCGUCGGAGGAGGCAUCGAUCACGGAGGGCUUCUACAUCAACACCAUAGCCCCUCCGAUGAAGUGUGAGUAGUUUACCUCGGACCUACGGGUCCAUAGUUAGUAGCUAGAUGGCUUCUUCUCUCUUUUUUGAUCUCAAUACAAUGUUCUCCCCCUCUCUUGUGGAGAACUAUUCGAUGUAAUCUUCUUUUUGCGGCGUGUUUGUUGAGAGCGAUGAAUUGUGGGUUUAUGAUCAAGUCUAUCUAUGAAUAAUAUUUGAAUCUUCUUUGAAUUCUUUUAUGUAUGAUUGGUUAUCUUUGCAAGUCUCUUCGAAUUAUCAGUUUGCUUUGGCCUACUAGAUUGAUCUUUCUUGCAAUGGGAGAAGUGCUUAGUUUUGGGUUCAAUCUUGCGGUGUCCUUUCCUGGUGUCAGUAAGGGCAGCAAGGCACGUAUUGUAUUGUUGCCAUCGAGGAUAACAAGAUGGGGUUUUCUUCAUAUUGCUUGAGUCUAUCCCUCUACAUCAUGUCAUCUUGCUUAAGGCGUUAUUCUGUUUUUAACUUAAUACUCUAGAUGCAUGCUGGAUAGCGGUCUAUGAGUGGAGUACUAGUAGUAGAUGCAGGCAGGAGUCGCUCUACUUGUCUCGGACGUGAUGCCUAUAUACAUGAUCAUACCUAGAUAUUCUCAUAACUAUGCUCAAUUCUGUCAAUUGCUCAACAGUAAUUUGUUCACCCACCGUAGAAUACUUAUGCUCUUGAGAGAAGCCACUAGUGAAACCUAUGGCCCCCGGGUCUAUCUUUAUCAUAUUAAUCUCCUACUACUUAGUUAUUUACUUUGCCUUUAUUUUACUUUGCAUCUUUAUCAUAAAAAUACCAAAAAUAUUAUCUUAUCAUAUCUAUCAGAUCUCACUCUCGUAAGUGGCCUUAUAGGGAUUGACAACCCCUAUUUGCGUUGGUUGCGAGGAUUUAUUUGUUUUGUGCAGGUACGAGGUACUCGCGCGUAGCCUCCUACUGGAUUGAUACCUUGGUUCUCAAAAACUGAGGGAAAUACUUAUGCUACUUUGAUGCAUCAUCCCUUCCUCUUCGGGGAAAACCAACGCAGUGCUCAAGAGGUAGCAACAAGGAUUUCUGGCACCGUUGCCGGGGAGGUCUAUGCAAAAGUCAACAUACCAAGUACCCAUCACAUACCCUUAUCUCCCGCAUUACAUUAUUUGCCAUUUGCCUCUCGUUUUCCUCUCCCCGCACUUCACCCUUGCCAUUUUAUUCGCCCUCUCUCUCUAUCCUCCCUCUCUAUUUGCCUUUGUUGUCCGCUUGCUUUUUGUUUGCUUGUGUGUUAGUUUGUUUGCUUGUCGUUAUGGCUAGCCCCUUAUCUUCUCCGUUGUCUCCCGAAAAUGAAAUUCUAAAUUUUAAGCAAAGGGAGGGAGAAAAUCUAAAAGAUGCUUGGUAUAGAAUUUGUAAUGCUCAAAAUAGAUCUACUAGGAAGCAAUCUACUUCCGUUCUCCUUCGCAAUUUUUAUGUAGGCAUUACUCCUUGGCACCAUUAUGUUCUUGAUACUAUUACCGAAGGGAACUUUUUAGGUAGCCAUACUUUUGAUUCUUAUAAUGCUAUGUUAGAUUUAUUUGGCUCACCCCCUCUCUUGGUUAAUGGAACUAUAUUAACUUUGGAGCAUGUAACACAAAGGCUUGAAAUUAUUGAAAAUAAGGUUGCUACCAUAGAAUUAAUUGAAAAUUUGGAUAAAAAGAUCCACAGCCGAAUAUCUCAAUAUGGAUCUAAAGUAGGAGUUACUUUGAAAGAUAUUAAAGAAAAGGAACCCAUAGUUAAUGAGAAAAUAAAUCACGAUUCCGUUAGGAUCGAUAAACUUGAGAAUAUUAUUACCAACUUGGGAACCGCUUUUUCUUCCAUAAAGAAUACUCCAAGUCCUUCCACUGAAGUUGCCAAGCUUAUGUACGUUCCUAAAAAUAAGGGUGAAUCAUCUAGUAAGGAAAAUGCGGAUCUCAAAUCUAUAAGUAUUCAUCCCAAUCUUUUUGCUAACCAUUUGUUACAAAUGAAUUUUUCGAUCUUGUGCCUAAAAGUUUGAUAAUUAAUAAAAAGAAAGAAAUUCUAAAGAUGGUAGAUGCCUCAUUGAAAAAUUUCCUACUAAAGAUGGCAAUACCUAGAUCUAUUCUUGCUUGUUAUGCCUAGCUAGGGGCGUUAAACGAUAGCGCUUGUUGGGAGGCAACCCAAUUUUAUUUUUAUUCCUUGCUAUUUGCUCCUGUUUAGUAAUAAAUAAUUUCUCUAGCCUCUGUUUUGGUUGUGUUUUUUGUGUUUAAUUAGUGUUUGUGCCAAGUAGAACCGUUGGGAAGACUUGGGGAAAGUCUUGUUGAACUUGCUGUAAAAAACAGAAACUUUAGCGCUCACAAGAACUACUGCCAUUUUUAUUUGGAAAGUGAUAUUUAGUUAAUUAUUUUUUAAGAUGAUUAAUAGAUAGAUUCCUCACGUCCAGCAAUUUAUUUUAGAAUUUUUUGGGUUCCAGAUCUUGCGCUAGCUACAGAUUACUACAGACUGUUCUGUUUUUAACAGAUUCUGUUUUUCAUGUGUUGUUUGCUUAUUUUGAUGAAUCUAUGGCUAGUAAAAUAGUUUAUAAACCAUAUAGAAGUAGGAAUACAGUAGGUAUAACACCAAUAUAACUAAAUAAUGAGUUCAUUACAGUAUCUUGAAGUGGUCUUUUAUUUUCUUUCGCUAAUGGAGCUGACGAGAUUUUCUACUUUAAGUUUUGUGUUGUGGAGUUUUCAAGUUUUGGGUAAAGAUUUGAUGGAUUAUGGAACAAGGAGUGGAAAGAGCCUAAGCUUGGGGUGGUCCAUGACACCCCCAAGAUAAUCUAAGGACACCUAAGAGCCAAAGCUUGGGGAUGCCCCGGAAGGCAUCCCCUCUUUCGUCUACUUCUAUCGGUAACUUUACUUGGAGCUACAUUUUUAUUCGCCACAUGAUAUGUGUUUUGCUUGGAGCGUCUUGCAUUAUUUGAGUCUUUGCUUGUUAGUUUAACACAAUAAUCCUUGCUGUACACACCUUUUGAGAGAGCCAUAUAUGAUUUGGAAUUUGUUAUAAUACUCUAUGUGCUUCGCUUAUAUCUUUUGAGUUAUAUAAUUUUGCUCUACUACUUGACUUAUAUCUUUUAGAGCACAAUGGUGGAUUUGUUUUAUAGAAACUGUUGAUCUCUCAUGCUUCACUUAGAUUAUUUUGAGAGUCUUUAUAGCAUGGUAAUUUGCUUAAAAUCCUAAUAUGCUUGGUAUACAAUAUUAAUAAUAAAACUUUCUUAUGAGUGUGUUGAAUACUAUGACAAGUUUGAUACUUGAUAAUUGUUUUGAGAUAUAAAGAUGGUGAUAUUAUAGUUGUGCUAGUUGAGUAGUUGUGAAUUUGAGAAAUACUUGUGUUGAAGUUUGUGAUUCCCGUAGCAUGCACGUAUGGUGAACCGUUAUGUGAUGAAGUCGGAGCAUGAUUUAUUUUUUGAUUGCCUUCCUUAUGAGUGGCGGUCGGGGACGAGCGAUGGUCUUUUCCUACCAAUAUAUCCCCCUAGGAGCAUGCGCGUAAUACUUUGCUUUGAUAACUUGUAGAUUUUUGCAAUAAGUAUAUGAGUUCUUUAUGACUAAUGUUGAGUCCAUGGAUUAUACGCACUCUCACCCUUCAACCUUUGCUAGCCUCUCUAAUACCGCGCACCUUUCGCCGGUAUCAUACACCCACCAUAUACCUUCCUCAAAACAGCCACCAUACCUACCUAUUAUGGCAUUUCCAUAGCCAUUCUGAGAUAUAUUGCCAUGCAACUUUCUACCGUUCCGUUUAUUAUGACACACUCCAUCAUUGUCAUAUUGCUUAGCAUGAUCAUGUAGUUGACAUCGUAUUUGUGGCAAAGCCACCGUUCAUAAUUCUUUCAUACGUGUCACUCAUGCAUCAUUGCAUAUCCCGGUACACCGCCGGAGGCAUUCAUAUAGAGUCAUAUUUUGUUCUAAGUAUUGAGUUGUAAUUGUUGAGUUGUAAGAAAAAUAAAAGUGUGAUGAUCAUCAUUAUUAGAGCAUUGUCCCAGUGAGGAAAGGAUGAUGGAGACUAUGAUUCCCCCACAAGUCGGGAUGAGACUCCGGACGAAAAAUAAAUAAAAGAGGCCAAAGAAGCCCAAAUAAAAAAGAAGAGAAAGAAAAGAGGCCAUAAAAAAGAGAAAAGGCCCAAAUAAAAAAAUGAGAGAAAAAGAGAGAAGGGACAAUGUUACUAUCCUUUUACCACACUUGUGCUACAAAGUAGCACCAUGAUCUUCAUAGUACAGAGUCUCUCAUGUUAUCACUUUCAUAUACUAGUGGGAAUCUUUCAUUAUGGAACUUGGCUUGUAUAUUCCAAUGAUGGGCUUCCUCAAAUUGCCCUAGGUCUUCAUGAGCAAGCAAGUUGGAUGCACACCCACUUAGUUUCUUUUUGAGCUUUCAUAUACUUAUAGCUCUAGUGCAUUCGUUGCAUGGCAAUCCCUACUCACUCAUAUUGAUAUCUAUUGAUGGGCAUCUCCAUAGCCCGUUGAUACGCCUAGUUGAUGUGAGACUAUCUUCUCCCUUUUUGUCUUCUCCACAACCACCACUCUAUUCCACCUAUAGUGCUAUAUCCAUGGCUCACGCUCACGUACUGCGUGAAAAUUGAAAAAGUUUUGAGAAUGUCAAAAGUAUGAAACAAUUGAUUGGCUUGUCAUCAGGGUUGUGCAUGAUUUAAAUAUUUUGUGUGGUGAAGAUAGAGCAUAGCCAGACUAUAUGAUUUUGUAGGGAUAACUUUCUUUAGCCAUGUUAUUUUGAGAAGACAUAAUUGCUUUGUUAGUAUGCUUGAAGUAUUAUUAUUUUUAUGUCAAUAUGAACUUUUGUCUUGAAUCUUUCGGAUCUGAAUAUUCAUACCACAAUUAAGAAGAAUUACAUUAAAAUUAUGCCAAGUAGCACUCCGCAUCAAAAAUUCUGUUUUUAUCAUUUACCUACUCGAGGACAAGCAGGAAUUAAGCUUGGGGAUGCUUGAUACGUCUCCAACAUAUCUAUAAUUUUUUAUUGCUCCAUGCUAUAUUAUCUACUGUUUUGGACAUUAUUGGGCUUUAUUAUCCACUUUUAUAUUAUUUUUGGGACUAACCUAUUAACCGGAGGCCCAACCCAAAAUUGUUGUUGUUUGCCUGUUUUAGGGUUUUGAAGAAAAGGAAUAUCAAACGGAGUCCAAACGGAAUGAAACCUUCGGAAACGUGAUUUUCUCAAUGAAUAAGACCAGAGAGACUUGGACCCUACGUCAAGAAAAGAAACAGGAGGCCACGAGGUAGGGGGGCGCGCCUGCCUACCCUAGGCGCGCCCUCCACCCUCAUGGGCCCCCUGUUGCUCCACCGACGUACUCCUUCCUCCUAUAUAUAUCCACGUACCCCCAAACAAUCAGAUACAGGGCCAAAACCCUAAUUCCACCGCCGCAACUUUCUGUAUCCACGAGAUCCCAUCUUGGGGCUUGUUCCGGAGCUCCGCCGGAGGGGGCAUCGAUCACGGAGGGCUUCUACAUCAACACCAUAGCCCCUCCGAUGAAGUGUGUGUAGUUUACCUCAGACCUACGGGUCCAUAGUUAGUAGCUAGAUGGCUUCUUCUCUCUUUUUGGAUCUCAAUACAAUGUUCUCCCCCUCUCUUGUGGAGAACUAUUCGAUGUAAUCUUCUUUUUGUGGUGUGUUUGUUGAGACCGAUGAAUUGUGGGUUUAUGAUUAAGUCUAUCUAUGAAUAAUAUUUGAAUAUUCUCUGAAUUCUUUUAUGUAUGAUUGGUUAUCUUUCCAAGUCUCUUCGAAUUAUCAGUUUUCUUUGGCCUACUAGAUUGAUCUUUCUUGCAAUGGGAGAAGUGCUUAGUUUUGGGUUCAAUCUUGUGGUGUCCUUUCCCGGUGACAGUAAGGGCAGCAAUGCACGUAUUGUAUUGUUGCCAUCGAGGAUAACAAGAUGGGGUUUUCUUCAUAUUGCAUGAGUCUAUCCCUCUACAUCAUGUCAUCUUGCUUAAGGCAUUACUCUGUUUUUAACUUAAUACUCUAGAUGCAUGCUGGAUAGCGGUCGAUAAGUGGAGUAAUAGUAGUAGAUGCAGGCAGGAGUCGGUCUACUUGUCUCGGACGUGAUGCCUAUAUACAUGAUCAUACCUAGAUAUUCUCAUAAUAUGCUCAAUUCUGUCAAUUGCUCAAUAGUAAUUUGUUCACCCACCGUAGAAUACUUAUGCUCUUGAGAGAAGCCACUAGUGAAACCUAUGGCCCCCCGGGUCUAUCUUUAUCAUAUUAAUCUCCUACUACUUAGUUAUUUCCUUUGCUAUUUACUUUGCCUUUAUUUUACUUUGCAUCUUUAUCAUAAAAAUACCAAAACUAUUAUCUUAUCAUAUUUAUCAGAUCUCACUCUCAUAAGUGGCCUUAUAGGGAUUGACAACCCCUAUUUGCGUUGGUUGCGAGGAUUUAUUUGUUUUGUGCAGGUACGAGGGACUCGCGCGUAGCCUCCUACUGGAUUGAUACCUUGAUUCUCAAAAACGGAGGGAAAUACUUACACUACUUUGCUGCAUCACCCCUUCCUCUUAGAGGAAAACCAACGCAGUGCUCAAGAGGUAGCAGUGUCUUGGUUUUAAUGGUUGUAGGAGGUGCCGUGCGGACAGCUGCUUGACCAUGACUGAACGGGAGGCGUGCGAGCGUCGUCUAGUAUGCGGGCUGACCGAGGCCGCAGUUUAAUUCACUUUUUAAAUAUAAAACACUCAUCACAAACGUUUUAGUUAGAACACCCGUAUGCAAACUGACAGCUUCCUCAGGAAACCAAGAGAAAAAUGUGCCGAGUAGGAUUUCUGCAGCUCUUGAUCGCAAACGUUUUAGAUAGAACACAUGUAUGCAAAGUGAGAGCAGCGCAAAAUUUGUGCAUCCCUUCAACGUAAACAGUUGUUUUGGAUGACCCAUGUGAAACCACGUACAGAAAAUUCGGUAAGAUUUGUCAAUCCUUGUAACACUGUGAUUUGUCAAAAUAUGAAGCUAAAAAUCACUAGCAUUAUCUAAUUUUUGCAACUAAAAUUCAGUAAUUAAGCAUAGAUUUCAUUCAUAGAUUAAACAAUCGUUCUUAAUUUAUACAAACAGUUCAACUCAAUAGCUGAACCAACCAAACUUUUCCCCCAAUUGUUGCCAACCACGUACUGAAAUAGCUAGUUCAACUAUAUAUACUAGCUAAUUUUAAGUACGUUGUACAGUUCCACCACAUGUAUAAUCAAAUGAACUGAACAAAAUGGCCCCUAAAUACUACUACUACUACUGCGGAGGGGCUUUGUACUACUUUCGGCUGCCUCUCCUCUGCCGAGCGCGCUCAGCAAGAGGCGGAGGAGGAGGAGCCUACCGACGAGCUAGGCAACCGCAAUGCGGUGCCUAUCGCUAAUGCAGCUUCAGCAACGCUCGCCUCGAACGCCCUCUGCCGCUCCAGACGAACCCUCUCAAAGCAGUGGUUCUCCGCAUAGAUCUCCUGAUUCCUCGCCUCUGAGACGGUGUGUGCCACUGCCACUGCGGCGGUAAGUCUCUUUGCGUGCUUAAUGAGGCGCUCCUCCUCCCGUAGGAACUCGGUGUAGCGCGCAAGGUCGCUAUCGCACGUGCGGGCAUCCACCUCCGCCUCCCGCCUUCGGGCGGCGAUGGCGGAGCGGGUGAUAACCCCGACGGUCGACGAUAGGCUGGCGGCCACGGCGGCCGAUGACGGGGUGGCGGCCACGACCACCACCUCCCACCUUCGGGCCGCGGUGGCGGAGCGGGUGAUGGCCAUAGUGGCCGGCAGUGGGGUGGCGGCCACGACGACCAUCUCCCGCCUUCGGGCCGCGGCGGAGCGGGCGAUGGCCCUGGCUUUCGAUGGUGGUGUGGCGGCAAUGGCGGCUGACAACAGCUGCCGACGGGCACCGGCGGCGGAGCGUGUGGUGGGUGUUCCGUGCACACCCAACAGGGACGCCACGCGCACUACACUACGCCGGGGACUGCACCGCCGCCACGGUGUAGCCUCCUAGCUGGAGCUGUCCUCUAAUGACGACGGAGUGGCUGAGCGGCGACCACGGACCGGUGCCAUUGGAGAAUGUGGGAGAAGCAAACGAGAUAAGCUACAGGGAUGGAGGGGAAAAUGUGACGCAGGACUCGCCGGCCAUGAGGGUUUUUAUAGCUAGCCGGUAAGCAUUGGGAUUUUGGGGGAUUUCACCGAGUCGGGCGGGAAGCUUGCGCGGGAACCUGCGAGGUUGCGCGGGAACGGGCUCACCGACGAUUCAUUGGCGCCACCAUUUGGCAAAAAGAACGCCCCCGCGCGCUGCGCAAGCUUGCGUCCUAAGUUGUCUGCGGCAGCAUGGUGACAAGACGUGCGGGAGGAGGACGAAAGGACACGUACACAUACGGUUAAUAAAAAAACGUUUGCAAUUUAAUUACCUACUAUACCACUGUCCUGGUUUAUAAGUAUGAUUUAACUAAUAAAAUACGAAUGCAUGUCGCCAAAGAUUAUAUAGUUGUAUUUAUAUUUGAACAUAGUUUCCAAUUAUAUAAUUUUUAAAACAUGCAUUAUCAUUUUGUUGGUUAAAUUUGAGGGCAAAGUAUGGCACGGAAUAUAAAGGAUACUAUAGACUAGACGGAGGUGGUACCACACGGCUGCUCUCUACGCAGCGACGCAACUGUCGACUGGCUUGUAGGCGACCAUUUGUUGCGUGUUCAACUGCUCCAUGCGUGUGGUUGCUUGUGGUUCAGGCGGCCGCGGCGCGCUCUGCUCGCGUCCCGCCGCCGCGCGCUCUGCUCAUGUCCUGCCGCCGCACGCUCUGCUUUCGCGUCCCUCUAGGUGCUCUGUCCUCGUCCCUCCACGUGCCCUGCCAGUGUUUUGGGCUGACGCACGAUCAUGCAUGUUCGUGUGCAAGCGGGUGCACCGGGCGCAGCGCGACGAUGCAGUUACCCGCUGCAAAAACUGCCAUGCGGACACGCCAAGAAUCCACGCCGCCCGGCCCCCUUUUAUUCAUGCGGCCAUUUACCUACAUCUCUCGUCUCACACGUCACAAUAAGCACACCCACGAGGACACAUACAGAGAGGACAUCCAGCGGUUCCAAUGGCGCUCCCCACGACUCCAAUGGCGCUCCCAGCGACCGAUGAUGACAACGGCGGGCAGUUCACCACGCAUCACGUAGUGGACACCCAUGUGAGAGGGAAGGCCCUCUCGGUGCUUUACAUGAAUGAUCCGGUCUCGGUGGAGAGCUCCAUCCAAACUAUGAAGCAGUUCCUUGUCGAGGACAAGUACCGAGUGGUCAGCUUCGACCUCGAGUACACCAUCGGUCGUGCCGGGCACGAUCAGAAGGUUGCCAUCGCCCAGUUGUGCAUGCGACAUGACGUCCUCGUCUACCACUUCCACCUUGCCACAAGGCCUUGCGAGCGUUUCUCCAGUUUUAUCAAGAGCUCCGACUACAGUUUCGCUACGGUGGACACCACCAACGAUCUAAAAGCGCUCAAGGUUCCGGACUUGAAAUGCCCGAAUCUAGUCAACAUCCAGCACCGCCAUAAGGUCUGGGGCACCGACAAAAGCUAACUGAACUCCCUGGUUGACCUCACCUCGGCGAUCAUCGACCCCUACUACGCGAAGAUGAAGCAAGAGAGCAAUAAAGACAAGAACGCCUGGCACAGUGUGUGGCAUAAGAGACUGGAUGAACAACAUGUCAACUACGCAGCCACGCGUACACAAGCUACAAGAUGUACAAAUGGAUCAUUGACAUGAGGAACUGUCUUCUUCCUGACCCAGACGAGGGAUCGAGCCACAUAGCAGUGGCGGGAGCGUCACAAGAAGUAGAUGACUAGACGAUCGUUUCUCCUACUUUAGAAUGCAUGCAAUUGUUUAUUGAGGUGUGUGUGAAUGAUUUGUAUAGUCACUUAUGUAAUUGGAUGUUUAUUUCAGUUAUAUAUACACGCACACACACACAUGUUAUUCUACUGUAGACAUAGCAAUUCACACGGCUUAUUAGCAGCAAUCGUCUGUUUUAUUAUUGGUCUUCGCACACAUUUCAGAUUACAGACCUGUUUACCGCGUAUCACACACAUCUUGUUUAGUUGAAUCAUUUCCAUUGUGUUGCCUAAUCACACACAGUUCAUCCCAGUGAACCGUAUGCUAUAUAUCGCACAUGCCUUCAUCUGGCUGCCCGUUUCUUUUGUGCCUCCUCAUCACAAAUAGUUCAUUGAGCUGAACCGUAUGCCCUGCAUCGCACACGAAACUAAAUUCUGAACCGUGUUUGAUGCAUCUGUCAUCGCAAACGCUUUGCACCUUUUUUGACGGGUUUUUUACACCACUGUUUGCGAUUAUGGCAUCGCACAUAGUUUCGUUGAAGGGUCUCUGAUUCGACUGUCACGUUUGGACCAUCCUGCAGUAGUGCACGUGCAUUGGACUAAGCUGAAAUCUACAAACAUUUAAUACAAGGGAGAAGACAAGGUAAUAUGGGCUCUUGGUUAAAUCAACAAUAAUGCAUAUGAGAGCCACUCAACAUUUUCAUCAUGGUCUUCUCCUCUCGACCCCCAAAGAAUAAGAAAAGAAAUAAAACUAUUUACACGAGAAAGCUCCCAACAAGCAAAAGAAGAACAAGAAAUCUUUUUGUGUUUUCUUUUAGUUACUACUACUACAAGUAUGGAAAGUAAACUAGCUAAAAGCUAAAACUAAUUUUUUUGUUUUUCUUAAGGUUUUUCAAACACACAAGAAGAAGGCUUAAAAAGGAAAAUAAACUAGCAUGGAUAUACGAUGAAAAAGUAUGAGCACCGACAACUGGCAUGAGUGUGGGAACAUGAAUGUAAUGUUGGUGAGAAAUACGUACUCCCCCAAGCUUAGGCUUUUGGCAUAAGUUGGUCUAUGGCCACUACUGGCCUGGCGGAUAUCCAAAGUCGUACCUGAGUUUGUACCGAGAUGCAGCAGCUACUGCCUGAAGAGCUGCAGCUUGGAGGCGAGCUACCUCCGUCCUCCUCUCAUACUCGUUCGCCUCCUCCCUGGUUAUAACAUAUAUCCUUUUUUCCUGAAAGUUAAAGAAAGUAGGAGUAGGGAGGGCAACAUGGACAGUGCGUUGUCUGUCAAAGAUUAGUCGGUACUGGAGGAACUGUUCGUUCCUCUCAAGAAACUAAUGGCGAACCAUGGCAUUAUAAUCUAGAUAAGCAGGAGGCAACUCCAUAUCAUUUCCAUGUAUGGGUACACCAAGAUAAUUAGCUACACGAGUUGCAUAAAUUCCACCAAACAAAUCUCCACUUGUACCAUUAAGAUGCAACCUUCGUGCAACAAUGGCCCCUAAGUUAUAUUGUUUAUCACCUAAUACCGCACUCUUGAGGACACUAAGAUCUGGAACGCACAUGUGACAAGCCUCAUCUUUACCGUUAAUGCAUCUACCUAUACAGAGAGCAAAAUAAUGUAUGGAAGGGAAAUGAAAUGCUCCCUAUGGUAGCUUGUGUGAUUUCCCUAGAUUCCCCCAUAGUGAUACUAGCAAGAAAGUCUUUAAAUUCAGCUUUGCGAGGUUCACUAACAUUGCCCCACUCCGGGAGUUUACAAGCAGUAUUAAAAUCUUUUAGGUCCAUGGUAUAUGAUUUAUCAUAAAGAUCAAAUAAAACAGUGUGAGAAUUGUGCGAGGAUGUAAAUUUAAACCUCCUCACAAAGGAAUCAGUUAGGUAGUGGUACAGUAGGCACUUAUCUGACAUGAAGUCCUCAAGAUCAGCAUUACGCACAUACGCGUCAAAUUCAUCCUUGAUGCCUGCCUGGACCAUAAACUCCUCUGACGGCUAUUCACAAGGCCGCACUUGAGCUUCCCUCGGUGGUUCAUCGUCUGGCUUACGUGAGCCUUGGUCCUUGCUUCCUUGAGGAACCACCUUGGUACAUUUUCCUAUGCAUUUUUCUUUCUCUGAAAUUUUAGUGACUCAAAAUAAAAGUGAACCAAACUCAACAAGAUUGAUAGCAACUACUCCCACAAGUGCCUAGAGGCUAUAUCAUGCAUUAAAACUACUUUGGACCAUAUAAAUUUGACAUGCAAGCUCAAGAAUAGGGUCACCUUAGCAGCAAAAAAUUGCAAUAAAUAAAGCACUAGGACAAAAACUAAUUGGACCAUUGGAGGAGUCACAUACCGAAGAACAAUCUCUCCAAACAGUUUUGUGAAUGGAGCUUUGAGCAAAAAAAUGGAAAAUGGCAGCAAGAUGAGCUAGAACACGGGUUUGAGGUAUGGGAGGAUUUUUUCUAGAGAAAGACGAAGUGAGUGGGUGCUGGAAUAAGUGGAGGGGGUCCACGUGGGGCCCACGAGGCAGGGGGCAUACCCUGUGCCCUCGUGGACAAAUGGUGGGGCCCCCUGGCGUGUUCUCGGUGCCAAAUUUUUUUAAAUAUUCUACAAAAAAAUCAUAUUUCAUUUUCAGGACGUUUUGAGAAGUUUUAUUUUAGGGGUAUUUUUAUUGCAAGGAUAAUUCAGAAAAUAGACAUAAAAUACUAUUUUUGCUUUAUUUAAUCUAAAUAACAUAAAGUAAAAGGAGGGUACAAAGAGUUGUGCUUUCUAACUUCAUCCAUCUCGUGCUCAUCAAAAGGAAUCCACUAACAAGGUUGAUCAAGUCUUGUUAACAAACUCUUUUCGAAUCGCAUGAAACCGGAGAAUUUUCGAAUAACACUAGGUUAUCUCAACGAGGAUAUGCAUGUCCCCAACAAUAAGAAUAUCAUAUUCUUCUUGACAGUAGGAAGAGGAAAUUCAAAACCUCCAAUAGUAAUCGUUGAAAAUUUUCCAAUAGAAUUGAUACUGUGGACUUGAGGUUGUUUCCUCGGAAAGUGUACUGUAUGCUCAUUACCAUUAACAUGAAAAGUGACAUUGCCUUUGUUGCAAUCAAUAACAGCCCCUGCAGUAUUCAAAAAGGGUCUACCAAGGAUAAUCGACAUACUAUCGUCCUCAGGAAUAUCAAGAAUAACAAAGUCCGUUAAAAUACUAACGUUUGCAAUCACAACAGGCACAUCUUCACAGAUACCGAUAGGUAUAGCAGUUGAUUUAUCGGCCAUUUGCAAAUAUAUUUCAAUAGGUGUCAACUUAUUCAAAUCAAGUCUACGAUAUAAAGAGAGAGGCAUAACACUAACACCAGCUCCAAGAUCACAUAAAGCAGUUUUAACAUAGUUUCUUUUAAUUGAGCAUGGUAUAGUUGGUACUCUGGGAUCUCCUAGUUUCUUAGGUAUUCCACCUUUAAAAGUAUAAUUGGCAAGCAUGGUGGAAAUUUCAGCUUCUGGUAUCUUUCUUUUAUUUGUAACAAUAUCUUUCAUAUACUUAGCAUAAGGAUUCAUUUUAAGCAUAUCAAUCAAACGCAUACGCAGAAAGAUAGGUCUAAUCAUUUCAGCAAAACGCUCAAAAUAUUCAUCAUCCUUUUUCUUGGAUGGGUUAGGAGGAAAAGGCGUGGGUUUCUGAACCCAUGGCUCUCUUUCUUUACCGUGCUUCCUAGCAACGAAGUCUCUCUUAUCAUAAUGUUGAUUCUUUGAUUGUGGAUUAUCAAGAUCAACAGCAGGUUCAAUCUCUACAUCAUUGUUAUUGCUAGGUUGAGCAUCAACAUUAACAUCAUCAUUAUCACUAGGUUCAUGUUCAUUACCAGGUUGUGUUUCAGCAUCAGAAAUAUAAAUAUCAUUGGGAUUCUCAGGUGUGUCAACAACAGGUUCACUAGAAGCAUGCAAAGUCCUAUCAUUUUUCUUUUUCUUCUUCUUAAAAGGGCUAGGUGUAUCAAUAUUAGUUCUCUGAGAAUCUUGCUCAACUCUCUUAGGGUGUCCCUCGGGAUACAAAGGUUCCUGAGUCAUUUUACCCCCUCUAGUCAUAACUCUAACUGCAUUAUCAUUUUUCUUAUUAUUUAAUUCAUUAAGCAAAUCAUCUUGUGCUUUAAGCACUUGUUCUACCCGAGUGGUAACCAUAGAAGCAUGUUUACUAAUAAGUUUAAGGUCACCUUUAACUCUAGACAUAUAAUCACUCAAGUGUUCAACCAUAUAAGCAUUAUGUUUCAAUUGUCUACCAACAUAAGCAUUGAAGUUUUCUUGUUUAACAAUAAAAUUAUCAAAUUCAUCCAAGCAUUGGCUAGCAGACUUAUUACGAGGAGUAUCACCUUCAUCAAAUCUAUAGAGAGAAUUUACCUUUACUACCUGUGUCGGGUUAUUAAGACCAUGUAUUUCUUCAAUAGGUGGGAAAUUCUUAACAUCUUCAUCUUUAAUACCCUUUUCUUUCAUAGAUUUCUUUGCCUCUUGCAUAUCUUCAGGACUGAGAAAUAGAAUACUCCUUUUUUUCGGAGUUGGCUUAGGAGUUGGUUUAGGAAGUGUCCAAUCAUUAUCAUUACUCAAUAUAUUAUUUAAUAGCAAUUCAACUUGCUCAACAAUUCUUUCCCUGAAAACAUAACCUGCACAACUCUCCACGUGGUCUUUGGAAGCAUCAUUUAGUCCAUUAUAAAAGAUAUCAAGUAUUUCAUUUUUCUUGAGAGGAUGAUCAGGCAAAACAUUAAGUAAUCGGAGAAGCCUCCCCCAAGCUUGUGGGAGACUCUCUUCUUCAAUUUGCAAAAAAUUAUAUAUUUCCCUUAAUGCAGCUUGUUUCUUAUGAGCGGGGAAAUAUUUAGUAGAGAAGUAAUAAAUCAUAUCCUGGGGACUACGCACACAACCAUGAUCAAGAGAAUUAAACCAUGUUUUAGCAUCACCCUUUAAUGAGAACGGAAAUAACUUAAGGAUAUAGUAGUAACGAAUUUUUUCCUCAUGAGUGAAUUGGGUGUCUAUAUCAUUCAAUUUAGUAAGGUGUGCCACAACAGUUUCAGAUUCAUAGCCAUAAAAAAGAUCAGAUUCAACCAAAGUAAUUAACUCAGGAUCAACAGAGAAAUCAUAAUCCUUAUCAGAAAUACAGAUCGGUGAAGUAGUAAAAGCAGGGUCAUAUUUCAUUAUAGCAUUCAAAGACUUCUCUUUCAGCGUAGCUAACAGUUUCUUAAGAUCAUAUCUAUCUUUGCAAGCAAAAAGGUCUCUAGCAGUUUCUUCAUCCAUAACAUAACCCUCAGGCACAUCAGGCAAUUCAUAAUCUUCAUCAUCACUUUCAAUAUUAUCUGUUUCAAUAAUCUCAUUCUCUCUAACCCUAGCAAGUUGUUCAUCAAGAAAUUCACCUAACGACACAAUAUUAUCAAGCAUAAAAGUAGUUUCAUCAUAAGCAUCAUGCAUAGCAUAAGUGGCAUCAUCAAUAACACACGACAUAUCACAAUCAAUAACAGAUGUAGGUGUCGCAAAUUUACUCAUAACAGAAGGUGAAUCAAGUGCAGAGCUAGAUGGCAGUUCCUUACAUCCCCUCGUAGUUGAGGGAAAAAUCUUGGUUCUUUCAUCUUUCAAGUUCCUCAUAGUGAUCAACAUAUAUAAAUCCCAAGUGACUCAAAGAAUAGAGCUAUGCUCCCCGACAACGGCACCAGGAAAUAGUCUUGAUAACCCACAAGUAUAGGGGAUUGCAACAAUUUUCAAGGGUAGAGUAUUCAACCCAAAUUUAUCGAUUCGACACAAGGGGAGCCAAAGAAUAUUCUCAAGUAUUAGCAGUUGAGUUGUCAGUUCAACCACACCUGAAAGACUUAAUAUCUGCAGCAAAGUAUUUAGUAGAAAAGUAGCAUGGAAGUAUCGGUAACGGUGGCAAAAGUAACAGUAGUAGUUUUUGUAGCAAUUGUAACAGUGGCAAUGGAAAACUGACUAAGCAAAGAUCAAUAUGUGAAAAGCUCGUAGGCAAUGGAUCAAUGAUGGAUAAUCAUGUCGGAUGCGAUUCCUCAUGAAACAAUUAUAACAUAGGGUGACACAUAACUAGCUCCCGUUCAUCAAUGUAAUGUAGGCAUGUAUUCCGAAUAUAGUCAUACGUGCUUAUGGAAAAGAACUUGCAUGACAUCUUUUGUCCUACCCUCCCGUGGUAGCGGGGUCCUAUUGGAAACUAAGGGAUAUUAAGGCCUCCUUUUAAUAGAGUACCGGACCAAAGCAUUAACACUUAGUGAAUACAUGAACUCCUCAAACUACGGUCAUCACCGGAAGUGGUCCUGAUUAUUGUCACUUUGGGGUUGCCGGAUCAUAACACAUAGUAGGUGACUAUUGACUUGCAAGAUAGGAUCAAGAACUCACAUAUAUUCAUGAAAACAUAAUAUGUUCAGAUCUGAAAUCAUGGCACUCAGUCCCUAGUGACAAGCAUUAAGCAUAGCAAAGUCAUAACAACAUCAAUCUUAGAUCAUAAUGGAUACUAGGGAUCAAACCCUAACAAAACUAACUCGAUUACAUGGUAAAUAUCAUCCAACCCAUCACCGUCCAGCAAGCCUACUAUGAGAUUACUCACGCACGGCGGCGAGCAUCGUGAAAUUGGUGAUGGAGGAUGGUUGAUGAUGACGAUGGCGACGGAUUCCCCUCUCCAGGCCCCUAACGGACUCCAGACCAGCCCUCCCGAGGAAGAUUAGGGCUUGGCGGCGGCUCCGUAUCGUAAAACGCAAUGAAUCCUUCUCCCUGAUUUUUUCUCCCCGAAAGUGAAUAUAUGGAGCUGGGGUUGAGGUUGGUGGAGUCCCAGGGGGCCCAUGAGGCAGGGGGCGCGCCCUGCACCCUCGUGGACAAGGUGUGGGCCCCAUGAUGCUGAUUCUUUCACCAGUAUUUUUCAUUAAUUCCAAAACGUGUCUCCGUGGAUUUUUAGGUCAUUCUGAGAACUUUUAUUUCUGCACAAAAAUAACACCAAGCCGUUCUGCUGAAAACAGCGUCAGUCCGGGUUAGUUCCAUUCAAAGCAUGCAAGUUAGAGUCCAAAACAAGGGAAAAAGUGUUUGGAAAAGUAGAUACGUUGAAGACGUAUCAAUGCACAUCAUGAUAAGCCUUGCAAGCAAUGUGACUAAUGAGUUAGUUAUGGGAUGAUACAUUACAGAACGAGUAAAGAGACUUGCUGGUAACGAGAUUGAACUAGGUAUGAGGAUACCGACGAUCGAAUCUCGGGCAAGUAACAUACCGAUGACAAAGAGAAUGCUGUAUGUUGUCAUUGCAGUUUGACCGAUAAAGAUCUUUGUAGAAUAUGUAGGAACCAAUAUGAGCAUCCAGGUUCCACUGUUGGUUAUUGAUCGGAGAUGUGUCUCGGUCAUGUCUACAUAGUUCUCGAACUCGUAGGGUCCACACGCUUAACAUUCGAUGACGAUUUGUAUUGUGAGUUAUGUGUUUUGAUGACCGAAGAUUGUUCAGAGUCCCGGAUAAGAUCAUGGACAUGACAAGGAGUCUCGAAAUGGUCGAGAGGUAAAGAUCGAUAUAUUGUACGAUGGUAUUCGGACACCGGAAUGGUUUCAGAGUGUUUCAGAUAUUUAUCGGAGUACCGGGGGGUUACUGGUGUUGGGGAACGUAGUAAUUUCAAAAAAUUUCCUACGCACACGCAAGAUCAUGGUGAUGCAUAGCAACGAGAGGGGAGAGUGUUGUCUAUGUACCCUCGUAGACCGAAGCGGAAGCGUUGACGCAACGUAGAGGAAGUAGUCGUAUGUCUUCCCGGUUCAACCGAUCCAAGCAUCGUUACUCCGGCACCUCUGAGUUCUUGGCACACGUUCAGCUCGAUGACGCUCCCCGGGCUCCGAUCCAGCAAAGCUUCGGGGAAGAGUUCUGUCAACACGACGGCGUGGUGACGAUCUUGAUGUUCAACCGUCGCAGGGCUUCGCCUAAGCACCGCUACAAUAUGACCAAGGUGUCAUAUCGUGGAGGGGGGCACCACACACGGCUAAGGAACGAUCGCGAAGAUCAACUUGUGUGUCUAUGGGGUGCCCCCUGCCCCCGUAUAUAAAGGAGUGAAGGAGGGGAGGGCCGUCCCUCUCUAUGGCGCGCCCUAGGGGAGUCCUACUCCCACCGGGAGUAGGAUUCCCCCUUUCCUAGUCCAACUAGGAGUCCUUCCAUGUAGUAGGAGUAGGAGACAAGGAAGGGGAAGGGAGAAGGGAAGGAAGGAGGGGGCGUAGCCCCUCCCCCUAGUCCAAUUCGGACUAGGCCUUGGGGGGGGGGGCACGGCCUGCCCUAGGCAGCCCCUCUCUCUUUCCCGUAUGGCCCAAUAAGGCCCAAUACUUCCCCCCCGUAUUCCCGUAACUCCCCGGUACUCCGAAAAAUACCCGAACCACUCGGAACCUUUCCAAUGUCCGAAUAUAGUCGUCCAAUAUAUUGAUCUUUACGCCUUGACCAUUUCGAGACUCCUCGUCAUGUCCCCGAUCUCAUCCGGGACUCCGAACUCCUUCGGUACAUCAAAACUCAUAAACUCAUUAUAUAGCUGUCAUCGAAACCUUAAGCGUGCGGACCCUACGGUUCGAGAACAAUGUAGACAUGACCGAGACACGUCUCCGGUCAAUAACCAAUAGCGGGACCUGGAUGCCCAUAUUGGCUCCUACAUAUUCUACGAAGAUCUUUAUCGGUCAGACCGCAUAACAACAUAUGUUGUUCCCUUUUUCAUCGGUAUGUUACUUGCCCGAGAUUCGAUCGUCGGUAUCUCAAUACCUAGUUCAAUCUCGUUACCGGCAAGUCUCUUUACUUGUUCCGUAAUACAUCAUCUCACAACUAACUCAUUAGUUGCAAUGCUUGCAAGGCUUAUGUGAUGUGCAUUACCGAGAGGGCCCAGAAAUACCUCUCCGACAAUUGGAGUGACAAAUCCUAAUCUCGAAAUACGCCAACCCAACAUGUACCUUUGGAGACACCUGUAGAGCACCUUUAUAAUCACCCAGUUACGUUGUGACGUUUGGUAGCACACAAAGUGUUCCUCCGGCAAACGGGAGUUGCAUAAUCUCAUAGUCAUAGGAACAUGUAUAAGUCAUGAAGAAAGCAAUAGCAACAUACUAAAUGAUCGGGUGCUAAGCUAAUGGAAUGGGUCAUGUCAAUCAGAUCAUUCACCUAAUGAUGUGAUCCCGUUAAUCAAAUAACAACUCUUUUGUUUAUGGUUAGGAAACAUAACCAUCUUCGAUUAACGAGCUAGUCAAGUAGAGGCAUACUAGUGACACUCUGUUUGUCUAUUUAUUCACACAUGUAUUAUGUUUCCGGUUAAUACAAUUCUAGCAUGAAUAAUAAACAUUUAUCAUGAUAUAAGGAAAUAAAUAAUAACUUUAUUAUUGCCUCAAGGGCAUAUUUCCUUCAGUCUCCCACUUGCACUAGAGUCAAUAAUCUAGUUCACAUCAUCAUGUGAUUUAACACUAAUAGUUCACAUCUUUAUGUGAUUAGUUCACAUCUUCAUGAUAUCAACACCCAAAGGGUUUACUAGAUUCAGUAAUCUAGUUCACAUCGCUAUGUGAUUAACACCCAAAGAGUACUAAGGUGUGAUCAUGUUUUGCUUGUGAGAGAAGUUUAGUCAACGGGUCUGCCACAUUCAGAUCCGUAUGUAUUUUGCAAUUUUCUAUGUCAACAAUGCUCUGUACAGAGCUACUCUAGCUAAUUGCUCCCACUUUCAAUAUGUAUCCAGAUUGAGACUUAGAGUCAUCUGGAUUAGUGUCAAAACUUGCAUCGACGUAACCCUUUACGACGAACCUUUUGUCACCUCCAUAAUCGAGAAACAUAUCCUUAUUCCACUAAGGAUAAUUUUGACCGCUGUCAAGUGAUCUACUCCUAGAUCACUAUUGUACUACCUUGCCAAAAUCAGUGUAGGGUAUACAACAGAUCUGGUACAUAGCAUGGCAUACUUUAUAGAACCUAUGGCUGAGGCAUAGGGAAUGACUUUCAUUCUCUUUAUAUCUUCUGUCGUGGUCGGGUUUUGAGUCUUACUCAAUUUCACACCUUGUAACACAGACAAGAACUCUUUCUUUGACUGUUCUAUUUUGAACUACUUCAAAAUCUUGUCAAGGUAUGUACUCAUUGAAAAAAACUUAUCAAGCAUCUUGAUCUAUCUCUAUAGAUCUUGAUGUUCAAUAUGUCAGCAGCUUCACCGAGGUCUUUCUUUGGAAAAUUCCUUUCAAACACUCCUUUAUGCUUUGCAGAAUAAUUCUACAUUAUUUCCGAUCAACAAUAUGUCAUUCACAUAUACUUAUCAGAAAUGUUGUAGUGCUCCCACUCACUUUCUUGUAAAUACAGGCUUCAUCGCAAGUCUGUAUAUAACUAUAUGCUUUGAUCAACUUAUCAAAGCGUAUAUUCCAACUCCGAGAUGCUUGCACCAGUCCAUAGAUGGAUCGCUGGAGCUUGCAUAUUUUGUUAGCACCUUUAGGAUCGAGAAAACCUUCUGGUUGUAUCAUAUACAACUCUUCUUUAAUAAAUCUAUUAAGGAAUGCAGUUUUGUUUAUCCAUUUGCCAGAUUUCAUAAAGUGCGGCAAUUGCUAACAUGAUUCAGACAGAUUUAAGCAUAGAUACGAGUGAGAAACUCUCAUCAUAGUCAACACCUUGAACUUGUCGAAAACCUUUUGCGACAAUUCUAGCUUUGUAGAUAGUAACACUACUAUCAGCAUCCGUCUUCCUCUUGAAGAUCCAUUUAUUCUCAAUUGCUUGCCGAUCAUCGGGCAAGUCAACCAAAGUCCAUACUUUGUUCUCAUACAUGGAUCCCAUCUCAGAUUUCAUGGCCUGAAGCCAUUUUGCAGAAUCUGGCGUCACCAUCACUUCUUCAUAGUUCGUAGGUUCGUCAUGGUCAAGUAGCAUGACCUCCAGAAUAGGAUUACCGUACCACUCUGGUGCGGAUCUCACUCUGGUUUACCUACGAGAUUCGGUAGUAACUUGAUCUGAAGUUACAUGAUCAUCAUCAUUAGCUUCCUCACUAAUUGGUGUAGUAGUCACAGGAACAGAUUUCUGUGAUGAACUACUUUCCAAUAAGGAAGAAGGUACAAUUACCUUAUCAAGUUCUACUUUCCUCCCACUCACUUCUUUCGAGACAACCUCCUUCUCUAGAAAUGAUCCAUUCUUAGCAACGAAUGUCUUGCCUUUGGAUCCGUGAUAGAAGGUGUACCCAACAGUAACUUUUUGGGUAUCCUAUGAAGACACACUAUUCUGAUUUGGGUUUGAGUUUAUCAGGAUGGAACUUUUUCACAUAAGCAUUGCAACCCCAAACUUUAAGAAACGACAACUUUGGUUUCUUGCCAAACCACAGUUCAUACGGUGUCGUCUCAACAGAUUUAGAUGGUGCCCUUUUAACGUGAAUGCAGCUGUCUUUAAUGCAUAACCCCAAAAUGAUAGUGGUAGAUCGGUAAGAGACAUCAUAGAUUGCACUAUAUCCAAUAAAGUACGGUUAUGACGUUCGGACACACCAUUAUGCUGUGGUGUUCCAUGUGGCAUGAGUUUGUGAAACUAUUCCACAUUGUUUUAAUUGAAGACCAAACUCGUAAAUCAAAUAUUUGUCUCCGCGAUCAGAUCGUAGAAACUUUAUUUUCUUGUCAUGAUGAUUUUCCACUUCACUCUGAAAUUCUUUGAACUUUUCAAAUGUUUCAGACUUAUGUUUCAUCAAGUAGAUAUACCCAUAUCUGCUCAAAUCAUCUGUGAAGUUCAGAAAAUAACGAUACUUGUCGUGAGCCUUAACACUCAUCGGACCGCAUACAUCAGUAUGUAUUAUUUCCAAUAAGUCAGUUGCUCGCUCCGGAGAACGGAGUCUUAGUCAUCUUGCCCAUGAGGCAUGGUUUGCAAGCAUCAAGUGAUUCAUAAUCAAGUGAUUCCAAAAUCCCAUCAGCAUGGAGUUUCUUCAUGCGCUUUACACCAAUAUGACCUAAACGGCAGUGCUACAAAUAAGUUGCACUAUCAUUAUUAACUUUGCAUCUUUUGGUUUCAAUAUUAUGAUUAUGUGUAUCACUACGAUCGAGAUCCAACGAACUAUUUUCAUUGGGUGUGUAACCAUAUAAGGUUUUAUUCAUGUAAACAGAACAACAAUUUAUUCUCUUACUUAAAUGAAUAACCGUAUUACAAUAAACAUGAUCAAAUCAUAUUCAUGCUUAACGCAAACACCAAAUAACACUUAUUCAGGUUCAACACUAAUCCCGAAAGUAUAGGGAGUGUGCGAUGAUGAUCAUAUCAAUCUUGGAACCACUUCCAACACACAUCGUCACUUCACCCUUAACUAGUCUCUGUUUAUUCUGCAACUCCCGUUUCGAGUUACUAAUCUUAGCAACUGAACUAGUAUCAAAUACUGAGGGGUUGCUAUAAACACUAGUAAAGUACACAUCAAUAACAUGUAUAUCAAAUAUACUUAUGUUCACAUUGCCAUCCUUCUUAUCUGCCAAUCACUUGGGGUAGUUCCGCUUCCAGUGACCAGUCCCUUUGCAGUAGAAACACUUAGUCUCAGGCUUAGGACCAGACUUGGGCUUCUUCACUUGAGCAGCAACUUGCUUGCUGUUCUUCUUGAAGUUCCCCUUCUUCCCUCUGCCCUUUUCUUGAAACUAGUGGUCUUGUCUACCAUCAACACUUGAUGUUUUUCUUGAUUUCUACCUUCGUCAAUUUCCGCAUUACGAAGAGCUUGGGAAUCGUUUCCGUUAUCCCUUGCAUAUCAUAGUUCAUCACGAAGUUCUACUAACAUGGCGAUGGUGACUAGAGAAUUCUGUCAAUCACUAUCUUAUCUGGAAGAUUAACUCCCACUUGAUUCAAGCGAUUGUAGUACUCAGACAAUCUGGGCACAUGCUCACUAGUUGAGUGAUUCUCCUCCAUCUUUUAGCUAUAGAACUUGUUGGAGACUUCAUAUCUCUCAACUCGGGUAUUUGCUUGAAAUAUUAACUUCAACUCCUGGAACAUCUCAUAUGCUCCAUGACAUUCAAAAACGUCUUUGAAGUCCCGAUUCUAAGCCAUUAAGCAUGAUGCACUAAACUAUCAAGUAGUCAUCAUAUUGAGCUAGCCAAACGUUCAAAACGUCUGCAUCUGCUCCUGCAAUAGGUCCGUCACCUAGCGGUGCAUCAAGGAAAUAAUUCUUCUGUGCAGCAAUGAGGAUAAACCUCAGAUCACGGAUCCAAUCCGCAUCAUUGCUACUAACAUCUUUCAACACAAUUUUCUCUAGGAACAUAUCAAAAUAAACACAUGGAAGCAACAACGCGAGCUAUUGAUCUACAACAUAAUUUGCAAAAUACUACCAGGACUAAGUUCAUGAUAAAUUUAAGUUCAAUUAAUCAUAUUACUUAAGAACUCCCGCUUAGAUAGACAUCCCUCUAAUCCUCUAAGUGAUUACGUGAUCCAAAUCAACUAAACCAUGUCCGAUCAUCACGUGAGAUGGAGUAGUUUCAUUGGUGAACAUCACUAUGUUGAUCAUAUCUACUAUAUGAUUCACGCUCGACCUUUCGGUCUUCGUGUUCCGAGGCCAUAUCUGUAUAUGCUUGGCUCGUCAAGUAUAACCUGAGUAUUCCGCGUGUGCAACUGUUUUGCACCCGUUGUAUUUGAACGUAGAGCCUAUCACACCCGAUCAUCACGUGGUGUCUCAGCACGAAGAACUUUCGCAACGGUGCAUACUCAGGGAGAACACUUCUUGAUAAUUAGUGAGAGAUCAUCUUAUAAUGCUACUGUCAAUCAAAGCAAGAUAAGAUGCAUAAAAGAUAAACAUCACAUGCAAUCAAUAUAAGUGAUAUGAUAUGGCCAUCAUCAUCUUGUGCUUGUGAUCUCCAUCUCCGAAGCACCAUCGUGAUCACCAUCGUUACCGGCGCGACACCUUGAUCUCCAUCGUAGCAUCGUUGUCGUCUCGCCAAUCUUAUGCUUCCACGACUAUCGCUACCGCUUAGUGAUAAAGCAAAGCAUUACAGCGCGAUUGCAUUGCAUACAAUAAAGCGACAACCAUAUGGCUCCUGCCAGUUGCCGAUAACUUGGUUACAAAACAUGAUCAUCUCAUAAAAUAAAAUUUAGCAUCAUGUCUUAACCAUAUCACAUCACAAUAUGCCCUGCAAAAACAAGUUAGACGUCCUCUACUUUGUUGUUGCAAGUUUUACGUGGCUGCUACGGGCUUAAGCAAGAACCAAUCUUACCUACGCAUCAAAACCACAACGAUAGUUUGUCAAGUUGGUGCUGUUUUAACCUUCGCAAGGACCAGGCAUAGCCACACUCGGUUCAACUAAAGUUGGAGAAACUCUCACCCACUAGCCACCUUUGUGCAAAGCACAUCGGGAGAACCGGUCUCGCGUAAGCGUACGCGUAAUGUCGGUCCGGGCCGCUUCGUCCAACAAUACCGCCAAACCAAAGUAUGACAUGCUGGUAAGAAGUAUGACUUAUAUCGCCCACAACUCACUUGUGUUCUACUCGUGCAUAUAACAUAAACAUAUAAAACCUAGGCUCGGAUGCCACUGUUGGGGAACGUAGUAAUUUCAAAAAAUUUCCUACGCACAUGCAAGAUCAUGGUGAUGCAUAGCAAUGAGAGGGGAGAGUGUUGUCUACGUACCCUCGUAGACCGAAGCGGAAGCGUUGACGCAACAUAGAGGAAGUAGUCGUACGUCUUCCCGGUUCAACCGAUCCAAGCACCGUUACUCCGGCACCUCCGAGUUCUUGGCACACGUUCAGCUCGAUGACGCUCUCCGGGCUCCGAUCCAGCAAAGCUUCGGGGAAGAGUUCCGUCAGCACGACGGCGUGGUGACGAUCUUGAUGUUCAACCGUCGCAGGGCUUCGCCUAAGCACCGCUACAAUAUGACCGAGGUGUAAUAUCGUGGAGGGGGGCACCACACACGGCUAAGGAACGAUCACGAAGAUCAACUUGUGUGUCUAUGGGGUGCCCCUGCCCCCGUAUAUAAAGGAGUGGAGGAGGGGAGGGCCGGCCCUCUCUAUGGCGCGCCCUAGGGGAGUCCUACUCCCACCGGGAGUAGGAUUCCCCCUUUCCUAGUCCAACUAGGAGUCCUUCCAUGUAGUAGGAGUAGGAGACAAGGAAGGGGAAGGGAGAAGGGAAGGAAGGAGGGGGCGCAGCCCCUCCCCCUAGUCCAAUUCGGACUAGGCCUUGGGGGGGCGCAAGGCCUACCCUAGGCAGCCCCUCUCUCUUUCCCGUAUGGCCCAAUAAGGCCCAAUACUUCUCCCCCAUAUUCCCGUAACUCCCCGGUACUCCAAAAAAUACCCGAACCACUCGGAACCUUUCCGAUGUCCGAAUAUAGUCGUCCAAUAUAUCGAUCUUUAUGUCUCGACCAUUUCGAGACUCCUCGUCAUGUCCCCGAUCUCAUCCGGGACUCCGAACUCCUUCGGUACAUCAAAACUCAUAAACUCAUUAUAUAACUAUCAUCGAAACCUUAAGUGUGCGGACCCUACGGUUCGAGAACAAUGUAGACAUGACCGAGACACGUCUCCGGUCAAUAACCAAUAGCGGGACCUGGAUGCCCAUAUUGGCUCCUACAUAUUCUAUGAAGAUCUUUAUCGGUCAGACCGCAUAACAACAUACGUUGUUCCCUUUGUCAUCGGUAUGUUACUUGCCCGAGAUUCGAUCGUCGGUAUCUCAAUACCUAGUUCAAUCUCGUUACCGGCAAGUCUCUUUACUCGUUCCGUAAUACAUCAUCUCACAACUAACUCAUUAGUUGCAAUGCUUGCAAGGCUUAUGUGAUGUGCAUUACCGAGAGGGCCCAGAGAUACCUCUCCGACAAUCGGAGUGACAAAUCCUAAUCUCGAAAUACGUCAACCCAACAUGUACCUUUGGAGACACCUGUAGAGCACCUUUAUAAUCACCCGGUUACGUUCUGACAUUUGGUAGCACACAAAGUGUUCCUCCGGCAAACGGGAGUUGCAUAAUCUCAUAGUCAUAGGAACAUGUAUAAGUCAUGAAGAAAGCAAUAGCAACAUACUAAACGAUUGGGUGCUAAGCUAAUGGAAUGGGUCAUGUCAAUCAGAUCAUUCACCUAAUGAUGUGAUCCCGUUAAUCAAAUAACAACUCUUUUGUUUAUGGUUAGGAAACAUAACCAUCUUCGAUUAACGAGCUAGUCAAGUAGAGGCAUACUAGUGACACUCUGUUUGUCUAUGUAUUCACACAUGUAUUAUGUUUCCGGUUAAUACAAUUCUAGCAUGAAUGAUAAACAUUUAUCAUGAUAUAAGGAAAUAAAUAAUAACUUUAUUAUUGCCUCUAGGGCAUAUUUCCUUCAACUGGAACCCCCCGGGGAAAGUAAUGGGCCAACAUGGGCCAUAGGGGAGAGAUAGGGCAGCCCACAAGGGGUGGAACCCCCCCCCCCCAUGGGAGUCCGAAUUGGACAAGGGGAGGGGGCGCGGCCCCCCUUUCCUUCCCCUUUCCCCUUCCGAAAGAAGGAAGGGGGCUGACUAGGACUAGGCGUCCUAGUCGGUUCCCCCCUCCCCCACUUGGCGCGCCCCUAGGGCCGGCCUCCUUCCCUCUCCUCCUUUAUAUACGGGGGCAGGGGGCACCCCAAAGCACAUCAAUUGUUUCUUAGCCGUGUGCGGUGUCCCCCUCCACAGUUUACUCCUCCGGUCAUAUUGGCGUAGUGCUUAGGCGAAGCCCUGCGCGGAUCACAUCACCAUCACCGUCACCACGCCGUCGUGCUGAAGAAACUCUCCCUCGACACUUUGCUGGAUCAAGAGUUCGAGGGACGUCAUCGAGCUGAACGUGUGCAGAACUCGAUGGUGUCGUACGUUCGGUGCUUGAUCGGUUGGAUCGCCAAGACAUUCGACUACAUCAACUGAAUUAAGCUAACACUUCCGCUUUCGGUCUACGAGGGUACGUGGACACACUCUCCCCCUCUCGUUGCUAUGCAACUCCUAGAUAGAUCUUGCGUGAUCACAUGAUUUUUUUUUUGAAAUUGCAUGCUACGUUCCCCAACACUUGAGUCGUCUGACAAGGAGGACUAGGCGGAUGAAACAGCGAUGAUGCAGGCGGUCCUUGUAGACACGGAGCAUACGGAAGAGCUUGUUCUCAAAUUCAAUAUAUCAAAUCAAGGGCCAUCGAGUGUUGAAUCGGAGCAGUGCACGGGGCAUUUGACAUUGAUGGAUGACUACUUCUCCCUCGAUGCCCUAUUCGCGGACAAUUUUUGUCGGUGCUUUUGGAUGCGAAAAAAAUAUAUUCGAUCACCUAUACAAUGGUGACUGAUCCUACGAUGUCUAUUUCAUCUUGAAGAAGGAUGCCACAGGAAUGAUUGCAUUCUCUAUUACCAGAAGUACAUGGUUGCAUUGUGGAUGCUUGCAUAUAACAUGGCCGCGGAUUCAUAGGACGAGUACCUUCGGAUGUAUGGGAGCACAUGCGGAGACGUCAUGGUUAGAUUUGCUACUGCGCUGGUCGAGAUGUUUGUCCCUCCGUACUUGAGAGAACCAAAUGUUGCAGACACCGAGAGGUUCUUGGCAAUGUCCAAAGCAUGAAGGUGGUCAGGUUUGUUCGGAUCUCUUGAUUGGAUGCAUCAGAUAUGGAAGAACUAUCCAAAAGCUCUAUAAGGGCAAUACCAUGUUAACAAGCCCACCAUCAUUCUUGAAAAUAGUUGCGUCAGAGAACCUCUGAAUUUGGCACGCCCGGAUCUCACAAUGACAUUAAUGUGCCGGUCUCCAUUGUUUGCUAGGCUAACUUAAUUAAGGGCAAGCUCCUCUUUGCAACUGUACUAUCAAUGAGCAUCAAUACAACAUGGGCUACUAUCUUCUUGAUGGUAUCUAUUCUCUGUGGGCUACCUUCAUCAAGACCAUCUCUGAGCUAGUUGGUCAGAAAAUAUUUCACUUUACCCAAAGACAAGAAUGAGCUAGAAAAUAUGUGGAGAGGGCAUUUAGAGUGCUCGAGUCCCAUUGCAGUUGUUCGUAGACCUACUAAACAAUGGGAUCCAGAGACCUUGUGGGAGGUGCUGACAUGUUGUGUGAUCAUACAUAACAUGAUAGUGGAGGAUGAGGGUGAAGAUGUUGCCGUGGGUCUAGAAUUUGAAAACGUGGGUGAUCAUAUCCAACUUUCAGAUCAAAAUUCGGCCACGUUUAACAAGUUUGUUCAAAUGCAUCAACAAAUUCAGCAUCAGGCAACUCAUUAGCAGCUCAAGAAAGAUUUUAUUGAGUAUCCAUGAGCGGUUAAAGGGGACAACUAGAACAUAUGUGCUAGUUGAAUUCAAGUUUGAACUAUUAAAAAAACUUAGUUGGAUUGUAAUAUUUAAAUUAGAACUAUUGUCGCAUUUGAAUAUUUUCAAUCAUCUAUAAUUUGACAUGCUAUUAUUUUGAGCUCGUGGAUUUAAAAAAACAAAAGAGGCGGAAGUUUUAAGCAAUGCUUGGGCUGAGUUUGCCAGGUCUGAUUGGGUGCCGGGCAGUGGCCGGGAAGGCCGCCCAGACGUUUGGACGGAUAUGGGGGGCUACAGUUGGAUGAUCUUACCCUCCCUAAUUUGAUCCUACGAUGUGAUGAUCGAGCCACCCUUAGACGUGAACUCCUCCACCAGAUUUGUGCCCCUAUCACCUGGCUACCAAUAAAAGUUUCGGGGUAGCGCGUACUCAUUGUCCAUGAAGACAAGGUGAUACCCUGCAUGUUGUUGCACAAAUAUUUUGUAAAAUAUUUCAAUAAUAUUUGAUUGUAUGAAUGUGAAUAUUUGGAGUAUAAUAUGAUAAGUAGAACUAAAAAUACAUUCAUACAAAUACCAAAUAUUUAUUAUGUUUAACUAUUGUAUAGUUGUAAAAUAUUUUUAAAUACCAAUAGCAAUAAUAGAAUAAAAAUUCCCAUGCAUGUUAAAGUGGGCAUUUUCCUAUACAUGGAUGUAUGUUGAUACGAGUCAUUUUUCAUGCAUGUUAUAUGUGGAGCCUAGCUCAGAUGGUUAUAUUUUUUGUGGUGGAACCAGCCCAUCAGGGUUUAAGUCCUAAACUUGGCAUUGGUGCUCGCAACUUUUUUAAUUCAUUUUAGGUUUUCUCAUUCCGUGGAGGAGACAUUCCCUUCAACUAUGAAGGAAACUGUGUUGCCUUCGUCAAUCUCAGGAUGAUGUGUCGAUUCAGUCUUUCGAAGAUACUCAUAAGGGUUAGAUGUGCGUGCGUGCACACAUUCGUAGAGACUAGGGGUUGGGGCGCCACCCAGUGGCACCUCCUGGGAGGAAGUUUGUGCGGUCCCAGCUUGACAAGCGACCUUUCCACCCCUUUUUUCUCGAAUUGCUGGUGAACAUGCACAUAUAAGCAAGAAAUUUGCAAUAGAAUUUACAACUAAUAACAAAUCAAACAACCUUUGAACAAACAACAGUAUUUUAGGCCUUGAUGCCUUUGGGUGGUGGAUUAUUCCCAACCAGAUUAAACACUAUAUUAUGAAUAACAACAAAAAAUUGUAAAACCAAACUGGCAUAGAACCAAUUGUACACUUGAGGGGCAUGAGGUUGAUGCUCGGCCAACAGUUGAAAGUUUAUGACGACAGAGUUGAAGCUCCUCCUGUUCACCGGCUGAAGCUCUGCUAGCAGUAGAUGUUUACAGUGACGCAAGAGAUGCUAUCUUUGCUCCUCCUGUUCACCGGCUGCUCCGUCAGAUGCUUCGCAGCUGCCUGUCCGUCCCUCUGGUGUCAUUGAUCUCAUCAACAACCUCCCUUGAUUGGUCAUCACUUUUGUGUCAUACUAUUUUUGUUACUGUCAUUUGCAUAAUGUAAACUUAUAGCUGUGUAAAUAAUGAAUGUUUUGUAUUAACACCCAAUCUGAGUAACUGUGCGUACUAAUCCUGCUUGUAUAUUUGUUAACGUGCAUAUGCAGUCCAAAUGAGCGUCAGUUAAAAAAGAAUACACGUAAUAGAAUGCAGCACGAGAGUAUUCACUCAUAAAGCAGAAGGGGUAACUCGAUGACCCAAAAUCAUGCCUAAUUCUGGUUUGAACAAUCAACAGAUAAGGUAUGCUCCUAUUGCCUGAAAUAGAAAAAAUAACUUAAGAAGUACUACGAUGGUGGCUAUUAAAGAAUGUGGUUAUGACCAAAAUGUAGUAAUAAGAAAAGCAUUGACUACCUAAUGAAUAAAUUUAGAAAGAACCAGGAAAAACCAAUAUCUGCAACAAUGGGAACUACAAGUAAAAUAUUUUCUGGUGGUCUAAUCGAAUUCAUAUAAACUUGGAAGGAGAUAAGUGCAUGUGGAGUAAAAUACACAUCCGCUGAGAUUUGAAUUCCCUAGUAAGGAUUUAUGUUGAAUGGAAUCGACAAUCAUAACAAUAUGAGUAGUUCUUAGCUUUUCUUGAACAACAAAUAUAGCAUAAAUAUAUGAACAUACACUAACUGGUUUCAUGGGUGCCACAUUACCACUGUCAUACUUAAUUCUUGAUUGUAUAAACUAUAAAGAAAAAGGAAAAAUGGCAGAAAGUAAAAUAGUUUAGUAGUUCCACAAUCCUUUUUUCUGUUCAUAGAUAACUGAAGGCUUGUGGGUUGCACAUCUCUCUUUGUCGAACAGAAAAAAAGACUACCAAAUGUGUCUUUCCUUUUUAAGGCCACAUGAUUUGUUAAGCCAAACAAAUAAUUCUACGAGAAAACUGAACAUACACAAGAUAUCAACAUAACUAUUAGAAUGUAAGUUCCAAAAUAUCUAUAAAAUAUCUUGCUGAAGUAACAAUAAUAAUAAAUACCUGAAAAUUAUCUACGUUGGCUUUCUUUGCUGACUGGUUAUGUAGAAGUCCAGUACAAGUUCCCGAAAUGCAAAGUUAAAGCAAAUUUACAUCCUCCAAGUGUUGAUAUUCAUAGAAGCUAGAGAUUUUUUCUUAAUAAGAAAUAUUACAUCCCCAAUAUGAUGACAACACCAUAAGAUACAUGUGACAUGUGGGGUAAUAUAGUGGGCCCUACAUGUCCCAAUAAUUGGAAUAUUGAAUUCUCUUGGAUCAACUCCAAGCACUUCCGCCUGCAAAAAAGCAACAAGAGGAACAGUAAAUGAGAAAGAGCCAUAAGCAUUGCAAGUAGAGUAUCUAAGCACAUGAUGUUGAGCUUGAGCAUGUAAAAGCUUUUUAAGAUAAGAUAUUCAAGAUAGUUUCCUCAGGCUGCAUACCACAAAGGUGUUAGGCCUCGCCACAUCAAAUGUUGUCACUCCAAGGAGACACUUGGGAUAAUAAGUUCCAGCUCUCUUGAAAACCUCCGCAACAAUGGGGGCGGUUGAGUUCACAGGGUUGCUGAUCAAACUCACAAUUGCAUUAGGACACUCUUGGCAACGCCUUCACAGAUUGAGCAAACAAUCCUAGCAUUUUUGUUGAACAGAUCAUCCCUUG
This 49352-nucleotide long non-coding RNA is filed under the name Triticum aestivum (bread wheat). RNAcentral describes it as "long non-coding RNA (TAES_LNC005587)". The record is from RNAcentral. Lineage: Eukaryota; Viridiplantae; Streptophyta; Magnoliopsida; Poales; Poaceae.